This 47212-nucleotide long non-coding RNA is filed under the name Phaseolus vulgaris (common bean). RNAcentral's name for it is "long non-coding RNA (PVUL_LNC003246)". The record is from RNAcentral. Lineage: Eukaryota; Viridiplantae; Streptophyta; Magnoliopsida; Fabales; Fabaceae.
UGCAUUGGCAUCUUUCUCACUUUUGUACCUUCAAAUUCCAGGCAACGCAAUCUGGUAAGUUUAUGCAAAUUUAAGGGAAACUCCUCCAACUUUGAACAAAAUUUCAACUUCAGUAUUAGUAAGUUAUAGAGCAAACAUAUCGAGUCAGGUAGCUUUUGUAUCCCAGUACGCGAAAGAUCUAACGAAUGGAGAUGUUUAAGAUCAUCUACAGAAUCUGGAACCUCUCUAAGGUCUGAACAACCACUGAAAGAUAACACGCGUAUAAACUUAAUCUUGGAAAACAAAUCAUGUAUGGAAAUUUUGAAAUGCCAUUGAGGUUUCCCAAAUUGUUGGAUAGGCAGAAAUGAACGAAGUCUUUUAGCAUCAGCUAAACUCCCUAAACCAUCAAAACUUUUGACAUCAUGGAAUUCAAAUGAAAAAUGACGGGUUGUUUUCGGUAUACAUCGGCCUUUAUCAAAUUUCAACCUUAAACAGAAAUCCCCACAAACAUAUUUUGCCAAAUCAUUCAGAAGGUCAUGCAUGACGAAACACAACCCGGAAUCUGAAUGUUGAAAAAAAGACCUUGACAGAAGAUCAUUGAAGUACUCUUCACCAACUUCUUCUAGAUGUCUCAUCUGUUGCGGACUCUGUAGAAAAUUUUGGGCCAUCCACAUCAAAAUUAACUCCUUCUUCACAAACUCAUAAUCUUUGGGGAAUAAGGCACAAUAAGCAAAGCACCUUUUAAGAUGAGAAGGGAGAUAACGAUAGCUAAAAAAUAACGCAGGAAUAAUUUCACUGUGUUCUUUUGGUAACUCCCAUAUGUCACUUUCCAAUAUGUUCUUCCAAUCUGAAAUGGAUGACUUUGUGCGUAAAAGACAUCCAAUUGUUUUCAGAGCUAGAGGUAAACCCUUGCACUUCUCAAGUAUCCUUCUACCAACCUUCAUUAACUCAUCAUUCAAAUCAAGAUCACCAUCUUCUAAUGCAUGAUUUUCAAAAACUUUCCAGCAUUCAUCCUCUCCUAAUUGCUUUAGAAGAUGCACUUCAGACCUCAUGCUAGAAGCAACUUUCUCACCACGAGUUGUGACAAGAAUUCUACUUCUUGGAGCCCCAUAGCUAAGAGGAGUUCGCACGGCUUCCCAUUCUGCUGGUCUUUCGUUCCAAACAUCAUCCAAAACAAGAAGAAAUUUCUUUCCUGACAAUUUUUCUUUCAGUUUUUUGUGAACCAUUUCUAGGUUCCCACUGUCAUCUUUUUGAUUUGUGAUUGCCUCAAGAAUUGUUCUUGUCACGGUCAAAACAUGAAAAUGAUCAGAAACACAGACCCAUGCUUUGAUAUCAAAUUUUGCAUCUUCCAUCUUUGGGUCAUUGUACACAUGUUGGGCGAGUGUGGUCUUACCCAACCCACCCAUUCCCACAAUAGAAAGUAUUGAUGACUGGUUAGAUUGUCGGUUUCAGAUGUGAGCCAAUUAAUGAUUAUAUCUUUGUCAGCAUCUCUACCGUAAAUAACACUUUCAACCACCAAAGAAGAUGAUGGCAAUUUCUGUGACACUCUACUGCCUGAUCUAUCAUUAUCAUCAGAAUAAGUACCCUUUUUCAAACCAAGAGCAUCCUUUUGGUUUGCAAGAUAUUCUAGUCUCCGCAGGACUUCUUUCAUCUCUGAUUCAAUUUUCUUGUUAAAUGAAGUAGAGUUGAAGAAAUUUGAUACCUUGGAAGUAAAGGUUUGAGGUUGGGAUUGAGCUUGGACUUGGCAUCUGGUGAGUUCAUAGUCUAUUUCACCCAACAGAUCCUCUGCAUCAAAGACAGCCUCUUUGACAGCAACAAGCCAUGCUUUGACGUGUGGAUCUGUGAGCUGCUUUAGUUCAGCAUCAUCAGCGAGGGCAUUGAUGGAGUGCAGCAUGAUUUUCAAAUUGCGGAGGAGCUUCUCAUCAAGUUUUCUUCCACGAAAGAAGUCUACAAUUUGAGGAGAAGCGAGCCUAUCGAAUGCAACCUGAAGAAAGGCGUUGGAAAUGAAGUGAAAUGGAUUGAGUGGAGGAAUGAAUGGUUCAAUUAGUGGAAAGAAGAUACCCUUAAAUAGCGAUCACUUAAAUAAUUAUUUAACAGUUUUUUUAUGUAUUUCAAGUUAAAUAGAAAAACAUUCUUAUCAUUUGGAAAUUCUUCCGUGAUAUGUCUCAGCUUCUUUGUGAAAUACUGAGGCAAUAAAUAUUAAGAGCAAUUUGGUUAUCACAAGCAAGGGUCUUCUUUCAUUAAUAUCUACUGUGCUGAAUUUCAAACAAUCACCUCUGAACUGAUAUUCUCUGUUUUCUUAAUUGCCAGAUUUUUUAAAUAUUUAUAAUUUCACUUUUAUAUUGUUUACAAAAUUUNNNNNNNNNNNNNNNNNNNNNNNNNNNNNNNNNNNNNNNNNNNNNNNNNNNNNNNNNNNNNNNNNNNNNNNNNNNNNNNNNNNNNNNNNNNNNNNNNNNNACUUUUGUAGCUUGUAUCUUUACUUUUCAUCUAAUCUUUAAUUAAUUUAUAUAAAUGUAUUUAUCAUAUUGACUUAAAUAUUUUAGUUCCAGAAGCGAGGUCAUUUGUCUAUUAAUUAGGUAGCAAUACAAUUUUUUAAACAAUGUAAACAGACUUUUAACAGAAAUCAAUGUUUAGUUGUAGAUCAAUCAUAACAAAAGACUCAUUCCUUCUAAGAGUUAUUGGAAAUUUGAGGAUCCAUGGUGGAAGAGAAUAGCGCCACAAAGUAUCAUCUCACAGUUCAACAAUGAGUUGAAAUUGUGAAUUGCAUGAGUUGAUUUCUCUAAUCUAAGAGUCCAAGAGGUGACAGUUUGAAUAUACAAGAUUUCUAGAAAGGUGUUGGCUCCCAAGAAUACCUUUUUAUCUCCUUCUAUACAGGACCAAACAUAACUUCACACUUUUGUUAGUUGCUGUUCUGAGUCUUUACACUUGUAUGCACAAUUUUUCUGUUGCAGGAGAAUCUUCAGAUUGUGGACUAAGGAGAGGUAAUAAAACAGCAAAACAUACUUAAUUAUCACUUUAUUAGAUUUCAAAUAAAACAGGAGAGACAUGAUUUUUUUUCCAAAGAAUCAGAAUUGAUUGAGAAUGGAUACUUAAUGAGAUGCAAUCUAUUCAAUUUUGUUGAAGAUUGAAGAGUGAUUUCUUAAAUACCUGUUUUACUGUCUCGACCGAAAGGUCAACUGAAAGUCUCGACCGACCGAAAGGUUGUACGGCCGAAAGGUCAACCAAAAGUCUCGACGCCGAAAGGUCAACUGAAAGUCUCGACCGACCGAACGGUUGUGCGACCGAAAGGUCAACCGAAAGUCUCGACCGACCGAAAGGUUGUGCGUAAAAUUAAAUUAGUGAUUAUAGCAAAGCCCAUAAGAUGGGCCCAAAUAUACAGGUGUGUGUUUUCAAAAUGUUAGGUGCAAAAAGAAAAGACCUAAGUAACUCUUAAGCCCAAUAAGAGAGUCUUAUAAAUAGAGGUUCAACUCAAAAGGUAAGGAGAAUUUCAAUUGAUCUGAUAAGCAAAAAACUAUAUCUGACUUUGGCAUCGGAGCGCCUUGCAGGUACACACNNNNNNNNNNNNNNNNNNNNNNNNNNNNNNNNNNNNNNNNNNNNNNNNNNNNNNNNNNNNNNNNNNNNNNNNNNNNNNNNNNNNNNNNNNNNNNNNNNNNNNNNNNNNNNNNNNNNNNNNNNNNNNNNNNNNNNNNNNNNNNNNNNNNNNNNNNNNNNNNNNNNNNNNNNNNNNNNNNNNNNNNNNNNNNNNNNNNNNNNNNNNNNNNNNNNNNNNNNNNNNNNNNNNNNNNNNNNNCCCAAUGUGAGAAGAGACCGAGAGAGUCCAGCCCAAAGUUCGGAAGAUUUGUAUAAGAGUUAAUCUUGUCAACCUAAUUUUAGUGUUCUUGGUCCUUGUUGUAAGAACAUUUUGGCGCCCACCGUGAGGCCGAGAAGUAGCUGAAAAAGGUUGAAGACAAGAUGAAUCAAAUGAGAAGAACAAGGUGGAGAGCAAUCUGGGGAGCAGAGAGAUAAUCAAAAUUCCAUAUCAAUGGCUAUGCUCAUGCAGUUACAAAGAAAGUUCGAAACACUAAAGAGAAGCAAUGAAGAAAAGUUAAGUAUGUUAAGGGCGGAGAAUGCGUACAUAAAAGGAGUUAGAAUGAAGAGACGNNNNNNNNNNNNNNNNNNNNNNNNNNNNNNNNNNNNNNNNNNNNNNNNNNNNNNNNNNNNNNNNNNNNNNNNNNNNNNNNNNNNNNNNNNNNNNNNNNNNNNNNNNNNNNNNNNNNNNNNNNNNNNNNNNNNNNNNNNNNNNNNNNNNNNNNNNNNNNNNNNNNNNNNNNNNNNNNNNNNNNNNNNNNNNNNNNNNNNNNNNNNNNNNNNNNNNNNNNNNNNNNNNNNNNNNNNNNNNNNNNNNNNNNNNNNNNNNNNNNNNNNNNNNNNNNNNNNNNNNNNNNNNNNNNNNNNNNNNNNNNNNNNAACAACUUUGAAGGGAGGGGCUGAGUUGGCAUACUCGGUUGCCACCGUUAUCCAUUGAUUGUUUCAACACUUUAGUAAAAAAGUUUGUAGCUCAUUUUGCUACAAGCCGACCACAUCAUCUGACAUCAAUUGCCUUAGUGAAUAUAAGGUAAGAAAAGGGAGAAUCCCUAAGAACAUUUAUGCAGUGCUUUGGAAAGGUAGCACUAAGUAUCCGCAAUCUCAGUCCGAAAGUCACAAUGCAUCAUAUGAUUACAGCACUGAAACCGAGACCAUGUGCCGACAGUCUUUGCAAAAAACCGGCAACCAAUCUUGACGAGUUAUCAUCGCAAGUGCCGGCCGAACGCUCACCAAACUUGCUUGAUUAACAUCGCAAGUAUUGGCCGAACGAUUGCCCGCUUGCUCGAUUAACAUCGCAGGUGCCGGCCGAACGCUCACAAACUUGCUUGAGUAACAUCGCAAGUAUUGGCCGAAUGAUUGCCCGCUUGCUCGAUUAACAUCGCAAGUGCCGGCCGAACGAUCACCAAACUUGCUUGAGUAACAUCGCAAGUGUUGGCCGAACGAUUGCCCGCUUGCUCGAUUAACAUCGCAAGUGCCGGCCGAACGCUCACCAAACUUGCUCGAUUAUCAUCGCAAGUACCGGCCGCUCACUACUCUUUGAUAGAGAUGGAAUUGAAAGAUACCACAAGAAUCAUNNNNNNNNNNNNNNNNNNNNNNNNNNNNNNNNNNNNNNNNNNNNNNNNNNNNNNNNNNNNNNNNNNNNNNNNNNNNNNNNNNNNNNNNNNNNNNNNNNNNGCUACAUAUGGAAUGCAUCCGUUUGGUAAUAUGAGUACAAAUCACAGUUCAUGGCCUGUUAUAUUGGUUAUUUACAACUACCUUCCUGGAUUGUGCAUGAAGCGAAAAUACAUGAUGUUGUCUAUGAUGAUAUCCGGUCCGAAACAGCCAGGAAAUGACAUAGAUGUUUAUCUUAGUCCCCUAAUCAAAGAUUUGAAGUUAAUGUGGGAUCAGAGUGUUGAAGUAUUUGACGGAUUUGCUAAUGAAACUUUCAGGCUGCAUGCCAUGUUAUUUUACACCAUCAAUGAUUUUCCGGCAUAUGGUAACUUAUCAGGUUAUAGUGUUAAGGGUCAUAAAGCAUGUCCAAUAUGCGAAGAAUACACUGCUUCUCAACAAUUGAAACAUGGAAGGAAGACAGUAUAUCUUCGACAUCGGAGAUUUCUUAGAAGUCAUCAUCCUUACCGGAGGUUGAAAAAAGCCUUUAAUGGUCACCAAGAGACUAGUGGUCCACCAACUCCACUAACUGGUCUUGAGGUUUACGAAAUGGUAAAUAACAUAGACCACACCUCCGGUAAGUAAAAAAAAAGUCAUCUGUGACAAACAUUUGGAAGAAAAAAUCAAUCUUUUUUUAUCUUCCGUACUGGUCGAGGUUAGAGGUCAAACAAUGUAUAGAUGUAAUGCAUGUUGAGAAGAAUGUGUGUGAUAGUUCAAUUGGUACACUUCUUAACAUUAACGGGAGGACGAAGGAUGGUUUAAAUGCUCGUUUAGAUUUGAUUGAGAUGAACAUACGAAGCGAGUUGGCACCGAUACAAAUGGGUAAGCGUACAUAUUUGCCCCCAGCCUGUUACACCAUGUCAAAAGAUGAAAAAGUAAGUUUCUGUCAAUGUCUAAAGGGUGUAAAAGUGCCACAAGGACAUUCAUCAAAUGUGAAGAGCCUAGUGUCAAUGCAAGAUUUGAAGUUAAUUGGGUUGAAGUCUCAUGAUUGCCACAUCUUGAUGCAACAACUUCUGCCUGUAGCUAUUCGUGGGAUCUUACCAAAAAAUGUUAGACAUACCAUAACCCGUUUGUACUCAUUCUUCUCUUCCAUCUGUUGUAAAGUCAUUGAUCUAUUAAAACUGAAUGAACUUCAAGAUGAAAUUAUUGUUAUCUUAUGUGAAUUGGAGAUGUUUUUUCCUCCAUCUUUUUUUGAUAUCAUGGUUCAUCUAGUUGUGCAUCUGGUUAGAGAGGUUAGAUGGUGUGGACCAGUAUACUUAAGAUGGAUGUAUCCUGUUUAGCGGUAUAUGAAAAUUUUGAAAGGUUAUCUGAAAAAUCAUUAUCGUCCAGAAGCUUCAAUGAUUGAAAGGUACAUAGCUGAAGAAAGUAUUGAAUUUUGUUCAGAGUACAUGUCAAAAGCAAAUCCAAUAGGUCUUCCUGCUAAUUCAUGGCACCAUAGGCGUUCUACAAGUAAAUGUUUACGUGGUGUGAAUAUUGUAAGAAAAUCUCGGUCAGAAGUAUUGCAAGCACAUUUGUAUAUAUUGAAUAACACAAAUGAAGUUAUACCUUACAUAGAAGCUCAUAAAGCCAUUGUGAAGGCAAAUAAUCCAAGACAAGCAGAGAAAUGGGUCUUGAUGGAACAUAAUAGAACAUUCAUGCCUUGGUUUAAAGAGGAGGUGUUAAAGGAUUCAACUGCAUCGGAGACCUUGACCUGGUUGGCUGCUGGAUUGAAGUUUGAUGUCGUUUCUUGUAAAGCAUACGAAGUGAAUAAUUGUAUAUUUUACAUGAAGUCUUUGGAUGAAAAGAGUACAGUUCAAAAUUCUGGUGUUACUCUUGAAGCCGAGUCAAUGCAGUUUUCCACUUCAAAAGAUUCAAAUCCUAUACUUGGAUCAAUGGCAUACUAUGGAUUUAUAGAAGAGAUAUGGGAGGUUGACUACACUAAGUUUUCGGUUCCAGUUUUCAAGUGUAAAUGGGUUGACAAUAAAAGUGGGGUUAAAAUUGAUGAAUCAAGAUUCACAUUAGUGGACUUUCAAAAGAUAGGGUAUCGAGAUGAGCCAUUUAUAAUGGUUCAACAAGCAUCUCAAGUUUUCUAUGUCAAAGAUCCUACGUCAGAACAUUGGUAUGUCGUUUUACACGAGAAAAAACAAGGGGAGGCCAUAGAUGAUAUUGAAAAUGGUGACCCCCGUUCAUUCACACCAAUGAUAAUUAAUAAAGAUGAUGAUGUACUUGAUGAUGUACAUGCAACCCGUAAAGACCACAGUGAAGGAAUUUACAUAUGAACAUUCAACCCAUUAUGGUAAUAAAUUUAUAAAUAUUUUUGAUAAUAUGUAUUUAGAAUAUUAUGUUUUUGUUUUAUAUGAUUUUCUUUCGAUGCAGGUUAACUAACGUUUGUUAACUAUGUUUUUUAACAGAGAUAUGGAUGAGAAUCAGAGUCCAAAGAAACCCCAAUCCAAACGAGGCAGCGGAGGACCUACUAGAAUGAAACGUCUGGCAAAGAGACGUGCUGCUGGUAAGAAGACAGCUGUUGACAUUGACGUCAACACUGGAAUGGAUUCUGGUCCUAAUGCAGAAGACUUUCAUAGCUAUCUUGGAGUUCUUUCUCGUGAGAGGAUCUCCAUUUUGACUAAUUCAUGGAACGAGGUGUCAGAGGUCGAUCGAAGCAUGCUCUGGGAGGAUGUUCUGGUCAGCUUUACAUUAUUAUUGUUAUCAUAUAAUUCUUUUUAAUAUUCAUUUAUUAAUUUUAAUCUGGUGAUGUUAUUUUGCAGGCAAAUUUUGAAAUUCCUGAUGUGGAACCGCUUCGAUCAAAGAUUAUAUCGAAUAUCAGGCUUAAGUUUCACGCCUUUUAGUCAAGACUAACGACGAGAUAUGUCUUUGGUGACCUUAAAGAUGAAAGCCCUUGUCAAUCUUACAAUUUCAUUGAAGAAGAGACAUGGCAUAUUUUUAAACAAAGUCGUCUAAGUGAGGAAUAGAUGGUAAGUUAAGGUACUUAACUAUUUUUAUUUAUAUAACAUCAAUAAGUUAAUAUUAAUUCACUUCAUUUAUUUCAAUUAUGACAGCGUCGACGGAAGAAAGCUCAAGAGAUAGCUUUAAAGAAUGUUACCUCGCACGAGACAGUACGUGCGGGGUAUCGAAGGCUUGAGAAAGCACUGAUGGAGGAAAAAGAGCAAUCUAGACAGGGGAGUGCAUCUGAGGAUGUGGAAACAGGGGUCACUUCUCCUCCAUCACCACCUAAGCGCCAUGUCAAAUGGAAGAGGGUCCGAAUUAAGAAGUCGGGUGCACCAAAUUCUAAGCAAUCAGGGGUUGUCAUAGAAAAAAUUAUAAGUUAUUUAAGCCUUUUUUUCAUUUACUAUGCUGCAUUACUCAUAGUAAAAGCUGAUAUGAUUUUGGUCUCUUGUAGGAUACUUUGGACUCCCAGGGCAAUUUUACUCCAGAAGGUCGUCACGAUAUCCUUGUUGAAGCACUUGGACGACCUGAGCACCCUGGUCGUGUUCGUGCAGCUGGACAAGGAGUUGGAAUUAAAGAAUAUUUUGGAGCUGCACGUUCACACUUAUCCUCCUCCCCCAAAGAGAGCAAAGAAGAAUUGAAGAAUAGGCUACGUAAAGAAUUAAUGGAGGAGAUGAGAAAGGAGACUGAAAGGAUGAAGGCAGCGUUGCGACAGGAGUUAUCGCAUCAACUUUGUGCUGAACCGCUAAUUCAGACACUUGUCAGUCCCGCUCCGAAGAGCACAAAGGGGAGUUGUGCAACUCCUACAACAUCAGGGAAUGAUAUGAUGGGUCAGACGAGGCAAUGUGAGCUACUGGUAGAUGGUGGCAUGAUACCUCAGGUGGUGGCCAUUGGAAAAGUCUAUGAAGAGGCCACCACCUUACACAAUGUUCCUCUCCCCUCGGAUGUGGCAAAGGUAACAGUUGAAAGAGUACGAGUACCUGAUGCUCAUGUUCCACUACCUUUAGAAAAGGUAACAACUGUGGCUGAUGCAUUUUAGUCAUUCGUAGCCUGGCCCAGACACCUCAUUCGAAUUAUGCCAGAACCAUCGGUAAUAAUUUCACUCCAUAUGGUAAUUUAUAUUUAUAUAUUACAUCUAAUUUAUAACCAAUGUUCUUUCAUUUGUAGAAACCUCGUCGAAAACCAAGUCCAAAAAAGAAGCAUGAGGUUCCGGUUGACGAUCCUAUAGCUUCCUUAGUUAUAGUUGAUAGAGAAAUUGGACGAGACCCUCUAGAAGUUCCAUGGGAUGAUACGUUUUUUGAAACAAACCCUGAGCUGCCAUUGUACAUAUACAUGUCAGAUCUAUUAGAAUUUGUAGCUGGGGAACAGGAGUUGAAUAUAAAUAUCAUUCAAUUUUUUAUGAUGUAAGUAUCUUUACCUAUAUUUCAUUUUCAUUUAUGCUAAAUUAGCAUUCAUUAUGCUUUAACUAACUACUUGUAGGUUUUUGAAUGGUGUCUCUGUCACUGAGGGGAAGGAAAAUGUGUAUGGAUUCUUAGAUCCUGCAUAUACUAAUCACACUGGAGCAAAGGCAAAUGAGACCCAAUCAUACAUCACAAACACCUUGGAAAAAGAGGGAAAAGAGGUUUAUUUAUGCCCUUAUAUUAACGAGUAAGUUUAAAUAUAUAUGUUAAAAGUUUAUUAUAUUCAUGUUUUACAAAUUUACUCAACUCUUUUCAUGGAUGAUAUAGGGGUGAUUGGCAGUUACUUGUCUUAUCAGUGAAGGAUAGGACGGCUUUGUGGUUUUGUUCCCUACACAAGAAGGUAUCCACAAGUUUUGAGAAUAUCAUUGAUAGGUAAGUACACUAUCAACUUAAAUUUGUUUGACACUAUAAUUAAUCUACUAACAAAGUUUUUUGUAUCAAUUACCAGUUCAUGGCGUGGAUAUAACAUCCUAAAAGGUCGAGCGAAUUCAAAUUUUCAAAAGUUGAACUGGAUGAGACUAAAGGUUUGUAAUUGUUUUCUUUCUCUUUCCAUUGUUUAUCAAUACUUACUUUUACAAUUCAUUGAAUUAUAGUGUAAUAAACAACCAAAAAGCUAUGAGUGUGGCUAUUACGUUAUACAAUGGAUGGGUACCAUUGUUAGAGUAGGCCAUACAAGUAAUUGGCAGGAGGUAACAUUUGAUAAAUUAUUUCUAUAACUUGAACAUAUCUAUGCAUGUAUCUUAAAACUAACUUAAGUGUUAAACCAUUUUGAAAUGCAGUUCUUUGCAGAUGAGGAACCCAUGUCUUUGGAAGCCAUAACAUAUGUCAGACAGUCUUGGUCCACAUAUUUUCUAAACUUUUAUAACUCUAGGAUAUAUAUAGUUGAUCAAUACUGUAGGAUGAUAAAUAAAGUUGUAUUUGUGAUUUUGUACAUUUUUCAUCAAUACAUAUAAUUCAAAUUUGGCUUUGAGUUAUUCUGAAUGUGUUUAUAUCUCUCUUCUGUCUGGCUGAGUAUAUUUAAAUUGCACAAUAAUGAAUAAAACAAAAUGUUCCUAAAAAAAAAAAAACCUAUUUACAAGUGCGGUUAUUUACCAAGACCGCACUUGUAAAUCAUGCGGGGGUGAUUUACAAGUGCGGUCUUGGUCAUAACCGCACUUGUAAAUCACAUUUACAAGUGCGGUUAUAAAUGAACCGCACUUGUAAUUGUGAUUUGCAAGUGUGGUUAUGACCAAGACCGCACUUGUAAAUCAUUGAAUGCUGAAUGCACCUUUAAAAGAAAGCACUAUUCUGUGAAAUAUACAAGUGUGGUUCCAGAUAAUAACCGCAUUUGUAAAUCGAAUUAUAAAGGCGAUUGUAUAACUGCACUUGUAAAUCAUGAUUUACAUGUGCGUGCUGAUCAAGUGUGGUUGUACAUCCACACUCAUAAAUUCAAAAUAACUGCAUUUAUUUUGUGUUUCCGCACCAGUGUUAAUAUCAUGAACUUCACUGACACACACAGGUAUAUUGUAAAAUAUCUAUUGCUUCUUCCAUUAACAAAUACAAGGACCAUUUUUAGGUACAACAAAUACUCAAGCUUUACACAGCUAAUCUACAUCAGGUGACUGCUACACAAAUUCUACUCUCCUAAUUUUAUAAACAAAUGGUAAUCCAAGGAGGAAAAGAAAAAAAAAUUAAAAGCUAUUUGCAAUGCUCACUACUUCAAUGCCACCUCCCAACUCAACAAGAAAUCAAAUACAAUUCCAAGGUCUAAGAAUGUAUGUUUAGAAGCAUUUACAUUUCACAACUCCCUUUCUUCAAUCUUUCUGUGAGGUGUAUUAGUUUUCCCUGGACCUGUUUAGGUAACUCAUCAUCUGAUAACCCAAUUUCAAUCCCUUCACACUCCUCUUCUUAUAUUUUGUAAGUGUUUGUUGUUGCUAUUCAGAGUCCUUAAACUUUUAGUGCAGAGCAAGAGUUUUUCUGUUGCAAGAGAAUCUAUAGACUCUAGAGGAGAGGUAAUAAAAUAGUAAGAUAUAAUUUAGUUUUAUUUUUGAAUGGGAAGAGAGAUUAGAAGGAUGUGAAAUAAAACAGUAGAGAAACAAUUUUUUAUUGGAAUAAUCAGAAUUGUUUGAGAAUGGAUACUUAAUGAGGUUUUAAAACAACACUACAAUAAUCAUGACCAGAGACCAUCCAUCUAUUGGAAAGACCUGAAGGAAAUAAGUUUUAAACAGUUAGAUGUUUGAAUGUGUGUUGUAAAAUGUGGAUCCAAUCAAUGACCCUUCAGUCUUUUAUCUUUACUUUCAUCCAGUUUUGUUUCUGCAAGAGGGUUAAUGGCAUAAUGAGUGCUCAGGGAAAAGUCCAUUUCUAUGUUGGAAUAUUUGUUAAUUAUUUGAGAAAUCAUAUUGCCAAAGUGGUUUAAAAAUACUUUUAAAUUCCAAUUACAAGUUUCUCAGAUACAGAAUGUCUCUUAUGGCCAUAACUUCCAACUACAGAAUACUCUAUUGGGAAUAGAUGCCAAAUGCAAGACCACCUUCACGAUUUUGGUAGUAUUCUAAAAAUAGGAAACAAAUUUGGUUGGAAUUUAAUUUCAUCAGAACAAUGAAAUAAUUUUGCACGAAAAUAAGAAUAAAAUAAAAGUAAUUUAUUCAUGAAAAAUUUAGUUGAGCCUUCUUUAAUAAAUAUCAUCACAUCAGUUUAAAUAUAACAUGUGCUACUAUCACUACAAAAAAAAAAAUAAUUUUGUGGGGUUAUUUUUUACAUUUCCGGUGGUUUUAACCUGCAUUACUCGCAGUUUGCUAUGUUCCUAGAAAAUCCAUCGUCACUAACGGAUUAUUGACGAUUUUUACGAAUUUUGGAAAAUAAUUACUUUUCGGCGAUUUUGAAACCCCGUUAUUUCUCGACGGUUUAGAAACUCCAUAAUUUUUGAAACCCUUGUAAUUCCCGACGGUUUCGAAACCCCCGUAAUUCCCAGUGUUUUCAAAACUCCUGUUAUUUCUAGCAGUUUCCGACGAUUUUGAAACCUCCGUUACUUUUAGGAGGUGCACAUAUAAAAAAGUAGGUGACGAAUAAUAGAAAUGUUGAAGCAAAAUAGUCUAACGGUCUUCUGAGAUCUUGUGUUCCUCUCCUACUACCUAACACUAAUACACUACCAUUUUUCAACUUUUUUUUUAUUUACUUUCCAAUGUUUCAUAAUACUAUAUUGGUAUAAUUUUUUCAUAAUGAAAAUAUAGACAUUGAAUUAUUAAUGUAAAAAAUGUGUGUAGUAUGUGAUUAACAUUAUUAAUGCCGAAUAAUUAUAUUAAUGUAAAAAAUACAUAUCACUUACUAAUUCAUUUAUCUUAUUCAUUAAGAUCCAUCUAAUAACCAGAAGGUGUUAGAAUAAUAAACAUAAAGGUUUAGAUUCGAUUCUUAUUAUAAAAUAGUUAAUUGUUUUGGAACAAAAUCCUAAUGACAAUUUGACGUCACUUUCAUUUUUUUGGUGAGGGAAACGGGUCAUUUUUAGUAGUGCCCUUGAUAAAACAUCAUAAUAUCAUGAAAUCUUCCAAGUUCAACAGAGAGGAAACAUGAAACUAUUGUUGAAUGGCUUCGAACUGCCACAGAAUGGCUUCGAACUGCUUUUUAAUUGCUGUGCUGACUAGAACAAAUUUUACCAAAUUAGCUGAUGUGAUAUGAUUCACCCACAAUAGCUGCCACAGAACCUGCAGAAAUAACAAACUUCAAAAACUAGUAGCUACUUCAAAGCAGGUUACAGUUGUAAGGGGCAUUGCACUAAAACUUUAAGGAUGUUUUUGACACACCAAUUUUCCAAAAUGUAACUUAGUUCCAUUCUUUGAACUCUUAUGUACAUACACAUUGGUAGACACCCUUUGAAAAAAUUUGACACACCUUGUUUUGUUUCACUAAAACAACAGGCAUUCCAUUCCAUAACAUUACCUGCCUUAUAGCAUAAUGAUAAGACUUCUAAUAUCCUUCAGUGAUAGUGGUUUCUCCUGCUCGUAAUAUUCCUCAUUAUCAACUAUCAUGAGCAUAUGCCUGAUUAAAGAAGAACAGCUUAUGAUUAAAAGAAAUACUAAAACAGCGUAGAAACUGCAAUUCAUGCAUCAACACAAGCAUUUUAUUAAACAAGCCAAUAGUAUAAAAGAUUGUAAGCAGGACAGAAUACAGAAAGAGACAACAGCCAACCUGGUGCAUCGCCAGAGAGGUAUGAUAACCGUUCAGACAAGGAUGACCAUUUUUUGUUUUCAUGGCACCAUUUCAUAAAAUUCCAAAGUUUAGAAACAAGUUCAGUUCUGUAGGCAAGUACAGAAAUAAUCUUUUCAAGAAGCAAUGUGUUGAAGAUAACAUGUAAAAAUCCACAAACUGCAACCUCCCUGUCCUCUGGCACCCCAAAAAUGUUUUUUGACACUUGAUACAGAAAUCAUUUGCAAGAUGGUAUACCAGUUGGAGAAGGAAGCGAGUAUCUAUGGCAUUAGAGAUUUGUUGAAUCAAUUUCCUAUCCAAAACUACCUCCAUGACUUCAUCUUCGCCAGUCAUUUCAUCCUCAGCAAUUUUAGAGUCUGAAAUUAAAACUACACACAGCUUAAAAACAAAUGGUAAGAGAGAGAAUAAUCUCCCAUACACACACAAAAAAAUAAUAUUUAAUAAUUAUGAUUAAAUAUAGUAACCAAGCUUCAGAGUUAUGCUCAAAUCUAACAUAGAAAAAGUUGCACACUUAUUUUUGCGUAGUAAGUUGACUUCUCUAUGAUAGAUUACUUUGCUUGGGGUUCUAAACAAAGUGUAUCCUUCCACUCUUUUGCAGUUUCUAAUAAUACACUCGGUGUUUGAAGGUAAAACUAGGCUGUGAUGUUACAGAAGUAAUAUAUUGAGGAUUGUUUAUAUUGGGAAGGUGAUCCAUCCUUGAUUAAAGGGUUAGCUUAUUGCCUAGUAGUAUGCAUGUAGAUAUAGAUGUAAUUGUAACAAUACAUUCUUCCUUCUUUUAAAGAGAAGAAAUAUGAUAUUUGUCAAUAAAGUUUAACAAAGAAAAUAGUAUCUUUAAUAAGAAAAGCUUGAAGGUCUGAUCAGAAAUCAUACUCUCUCUACCAUCAGAUCUUGUCUUGUCGGAGAUGGAUAUGAUUCCAGCAAAAAUGUCGUAACAGAAGCAAGGUUUAUAGCAUGCUCAAUUAUCACUGCCUGACAUAGUAUUUGGUACAUCUUGGAUAAUAUUUAGUCUAUUUGUCUUUCUAUAUUCAUCACUUUUUUUCAAUUUUCUUACUUUGAUUGUUAGUUUUCAAAACUGAAAGUGGCAUAAUUAAUUGAAACAGUUGUGUGCAUUGCAGAAAAGUGCGCUCUAUUUUGUUCUUUGAAAAGAAAAUUUAGAAGCAAUAGACCCAUGAAGAGGUUGGUGGACAACAUUAAGUUUAACUAGAAAACCUUUUACAGUUAAAUUAUCAAACCAACAAAAGAAAUCAGUAGACAAGUCAUGAAUACAUAAUACAUUAGCAUAAGAGCUUUUUUACACCUACAUUUUUAGAUCAAAGGGUGGGAGAUCAAACAAAUCUCUGAUAAAUCAUAUUGCUUCAUGAGAUUCUAUAAUCACAUAGCCGAGAUCAGCUACAAUUUACUAUGCUCAGUUACUAAUGUAUUUGAUAUAUAUAUAUAUGCGUAUGUAUUCUAAUUGCUAUAGUUCAAGAAGCUCUACCAUGACAGGAAAGAUGUUGGAAAUCAGACUUAUCCAAUGUGAAAUUUAGCAGAACAACAAAAUAAUAAAAAUUACUAAUGUGAUUACUUUAACAAUUUUGUAAUCAACAAAUCCAUAGUGAUAUUUGCAAUGCUAUGACAUUAUUACUAAUUUUGUUCAAAAGCAAUAACAGAUAAUAACAGCAAAAAGGCAACUUCUAGAAAAAUGCUUGAUUUGGAAAAAAGAAUUAUAUUAUUGCCAAUUAACAAAUAAUCAAUUAAAAUCAUCUGGUCAUCUCCUCUAAAACAUAGAGUUUAUUUUGUUUAGUAAAUGCCGAUUACAGAGUGAAACAUUUGAAACUUCAGAAAAUUGUAAUUAAAAAGGAACAGAGAUACUGUGGAAAAUUAAUUAGCACCAGUAGAAGAGGCAGAGAAAUGGGAAUUGCUCCACAUCUAAUUUUGAACUUGUGCUUCAUCUUAUUACCUAACACUCAGUUUUUCAAUGUGAGCAAUCUUUCCCCAGCUUUGCCUUCUGGAUUCUGACAAUGUUGUUUGAGCAAUGAACAUUCUCAAAUUGUAAGAGAAGAGAUGGAACUUCAUCGGGAAAAGGCUCCACCUUCAAUGUCAACCUUUUCAAUACACAAGCUUGGCAAACAUGUGUUUACAUCCGCUGGUAAGCAUUGAAGGUUGGGACAUUCACGAAGGAGGAGAGUGGAGAGGUGGCAGAGACCCUUCAAGUGCAUCGUUUUAAGAUUUGGGCAAUCAUAGAUUUGUAGAGAGGUGAGAGAGCGUGGCAGCAAAACUUCAUCAGGAAAACACUCCACGUCCAAAUUUACAAUAGACAAGCAUUCAAGACAUGUGUUGGGAUCCAAGGUGUCUCUCAAGGAGGCAAUAACUUUGAAACAUGAAAAAAAAAUAUGUUUUAUAUUUAAUGGCAAACUUCCAUCAAUAUAUAGGUUUAUGAGAUGAUUAUUAGUGGACUCCUGUGAAAUUCUUCUUAUGUUUUGGCAAUUUGUCAGUGUAAAAGAACAGAGCUUUGGAAAGAAAUGUAGUGGAAAGAUUGUAAGAGAGUCGCUGCCUCCAUCAAUAUGCGAUGUGUCCAUACUGUUUCCGCUAAUUCUGAGCUCAUCACUAACAACUACUUUCUUUAAAUCAGUACCUUUCAGUUUGGGACAUUCAAUCACAUAAAGUUGUUGAAGACGUGGAAAAGAAGUAGUUUUACACUCCCAUUCUUCCCAUUCCUUCAUAUGAUGGAAUGUCAGACUCUCCAAGCAUGCAAAUGAAGAGUUGCUCCCAUAAAAUUCAGCACCAAUGCUCACUAUUCCAUCAAGCCCUAAAAUCUCAAGGGUCUUCAGUGAUGACAAAAGUCCAAGGGGAGGCAAACAUAGGCAAUAUUUACAGUCCUCCAACUUUAAGAACACCAGAUUUGAUAACAAAUUAUCGAAUACCCAACUUGGGAAUUCUAUACCACUGUAGUUACAUAUGAACAAACGCUUCAAGUGUGUGUUAGGUUGUAGAUUCUCAAGUACUUUCUUUUCUUUCCUUGUAUCAUUAGGGAUGUGGUCCGACUUCCAUUCUAAUUCUAGAUGCACAAGGUGUUUAUCCUUCACAUUUGCUUCUGAUGCAUCUAAAGGAUUGAAAAUAUUCUGCAAGUCAUUGAUUGAUAGCCAUCCACGAAGAUUGAGUCCUCCCAAUCCGCUCAGUUGCUUAGUACUUAGCUCGCUAUUUCUAUCCACGAAAAACGUACUUAGUACUUGAAGAUUCUUCAAUUCUCCAAAAUGCAUUCGCAUCUUUGACACUCUUGUACCUUUAAAUUCCAGGCAAUGCAAUUUAGUAAGUUUAUGCAAAUUUAAUGGCAAUUUCUUGAACCUUUGACACCAGUUCAACUCCAAGAAACACAAUUUGGUAAGUUUGUGCAAAUUUAAGGGCAAUUCCUCCAGCUUUGAACAAUAGUUCAACUUCAGUAUUAGUAAGUUAUAGAGCAAACACAUCGAGUUAGGUAGCUUUUUUAUCGCAGUAUGCGAAAGAUCUAAUGAAUGGAGAUGUCUAAGAUCACCUAUAGAAUCUGGGACCUCUCUAAGGAAUGAACAAUCAUGGAAAGAUAACAUUCGUAUAAACUUAAUCUUGGAAAACAAAUCAUGUAUUGAAGUCUUGAAAUGCCAUUGAGGUUUCCAUAAUUGUGGGAUAGGAAGAAAUGAACGAAAUCUUUUAGCAUCAAUUAAACUCCCAAAACCAUCAAAACUUUUGACGUCACAAAAUUCAAAUGAAAAAUGACGGGUUGUUUUCGGUAUACAUCUGCCUUUAUCAAAUUUCAACCUGAAACAAGAAUUCGCACAAACAUAUUUUGCCAAAUCAUUCAGAAGGUCAUGCAUGACAUAACCUCUCUUAGCACCUAUACGUUGAAAAAAAGACCUUGACAAUAGAUCAUUGAAGUGCUCUUCACCAACUUCUUCUAGAUGUCUAAUCUGUUGUGGACUUUGUAGAAAAUUUUGGGUCAUCCACAUCAAAAUUAACUCCUUCACAAACUCAUAAUCUUUAGGGAAUAAGGCACAAUAAGCAAAGCACCUUUUAAGAUGAGAAGGAAGACAGCGAUAGCUCAAAAAUAACGCAGGGAUAAUUUCAUUGUGUUCUGGUAACUCCCAUAUAUCACUUUCGAAUAUGCUUUUCCAAUCUGAAAUAGAUGACUUUGUGCGUAAAAGACAUCCAAUUGUUUUCAGAACUAGAGGUAAUCCCUUGCACUUCUCAACUAUUCUUCUACCAACCUUCAUUAACUCAUCAUUCAAUUCAAGAUCACCAUCUUUAAUUGCAUGAUUUUCAAAAACUUUCCAGCCAUGCUUUGACGUGUGGAUCUGUGAACUGCUUUAGUUCAGCAUCAUCAGCGAGAGCAUUGAUGGAAUGCAGCUUGAUGUUCAAAUUGGCGAGGAGUUUCUCAUCAAGUUUUCUUCCAGGAAAAAAGUCCAGAAGUUGAGGAGAAGUCAGCUUGUCGAAUGCAACCUGAAGAAAGGCGGAAAGAAGAGCACCACCAACAAAUGAAGUGAAUGGAAGUGUGUGAUUUGAAAUGGACAGUGAUUAAGUGCAAGGAAUCUUUCUCAAUCAAUGACCUUUUUUAAGUCUUCCCAUCAACGGUUUCUGAUAAACAAAAUAUUCACAGCUCUAAUCCAUGAAUGGAUGUCUCACAAUAAGAUGCAAUAAACAAAUAUGCCUCGUAAACUUUCAUAUUCUCUAACUUCAGAUAUAUUAUAAUUAAGCAUAUCUAUUUUAUGUCUACGUUUUUUUUUUUUUGUUAAAGAUCCGAUUUGUUUCUUAAUGUAUGUUGUUGGAUUUUAUUUUAUAAUAUUUAUACUUUGUUUAUGAAUUUCCAAGCUAGCUUAAUUAGUUACCGUUUGUAACGUAUGAGGUGUUUUUUAGAACUUGUGUAUAUAGGGACAGAAUGAAAUAAGAUGGUGGGAUACUUAAAGGGUCUUAUAAAGCUAGAUAUUUAUUCUUAAAUAAAUAGGAAAUGUGUUUUUAGUGGAAACAAAAACAUUUUGCAUUUUGACAAAUUUUGGGAAGAAGUUACUAUAAAAAUGNNNNNNNNNNNNNNNNNNNNNNNNNNNNNNNNNNNNNNNNNNNNNNNNNNNNNNNNNNNNNNNNNNNNNNNNNNNNNNNNNNNNNNNNNNNNNNNNNNNNAAUACAAAACCGAGAGGUCUCAUUUUUUGCAUGGCAGAAAACAAAAACCGAGAGGUUUUCUCAUUUUUUGCAUAGCAGAAAACAAAAACCGAGAGGUUUUAUCAAAAAACCGAAAGGUUCCAAUACAAAACCGAAAGGUCUUAUCAAAAAACCGAAAGAUUCUAAAACAAAAACCGAGAGGUCUCAUUUUUUGCAUGACAUAAAACAAACACCGAGAGGUUUUAUCGAAAAAACCGAAAGGUUCUAAUGCAAAACCAAGAGGUCUCAAGACAAAACCGAGAAGUCUAAAUAAACAUUGGCGUAUCAGUAUCAAGUCCAAAAGUUCAAGCCUAUAAAAAUAGUCAAAAUUGGUCUCUAACUCCAAAAUUAGAAAGUUCAUAGACAAUUAUUUUCGGUUCAAACUCAAAAAUUGAAAGUGGACAAUCACAUCUUCACUUUAUCUUUCAUGCACAUUUGUGAUAAAUAAAGAUUAUUCACUAGCAAAUAAUUGGGAUACGUGCAAAAUAACUAUCAAGUGGCUGGGACAAAACAUGUUACAUCAUCAGUGCCACCCUGGAACUUUACUUGGGAGUUCUUACAAACCAACUGAAACACGCUAUUCGGCGCCGGCACGCCUCACAUCAUCAGUGCCACCAUCUUCAUCUUCAUCUUCAUCAUAAGGAAUUUCACUGAUGGGCAUCAGUUCGUCAUUAUAAAAAUCUUUGCCCAUGUCGAAAUUUCCAGCAUCCGAUGGACUCUUGUAAAAAUACUCGGCUUGCUGGAGAGGUUUUGCUAAACCCAACUUGUGUUGCUGAACAACAUAACCCUCAGCUCGAGUAACCCUUGAAUUCAAGUGGUUUUUCACAGAUUCUAAACGAAGAUUAUUAUCAGCUUCAGCGAAGUUUCCUUUCAAACGUUGAAUCUCAUUGUCAAGGGAUAACUUAUGAGUCGUUAACUCAGUAACCUCAUCCUUCAAAGACUCUUUCUCGGCUUCAUCACAAUCAUUAGCCUUAGACAAACUCUUCAACUUGGGAAGUUAAGGAUAUGAUCUUCUCAUUUGAUUCAGUUGCUUCCUUUUUCAAUUUUUCAAGUUCAAAAGAAGAAACAUCCUUAGUCUCUUCUCUUAUUGCUUUGCCAAUUAGUAAACUCCGACUAGUAGCCUACGAGAACAUGUCACGGGAAGAAGCAUUGGGACUAGUAUGCACAAAAUCCGAAAGUUAUAGGUCGAAAAGUUGGCCGAAAGGAAAUCCGAAAGGUAAACGGCCGAAAGGUAAACACAUCUUCAAACAAAGCAAAAAUUAUGUUAUUCAAGACUCUUGCUGGAUUCAACCAACUCUUUAUUCAGCUUCAAGAUCUAUAGCUUCUUCACUUGAACUCCUCACUACUAACUUGCUCGAUGACAUUGCAAGUAUUGUCCGAACGCCCGCUCGCUCGAUUAUCAUCGCGAGUGCCGGCCGAUCACUCACCAAAUUUGCUCGAUUCAUCUCAAUUACUUUCCUGAUAGCCUCGUUACUCAUGUCCACAAAUUCUGUAAAUUCAUCAGAAAUCGAAACAGAGCCUGCAGAAGACAUUAUACCUUUUGAGAGUAUUCGGUUCAAUCUUUCUGAAUCAAUAAAAACAAAAAACCCUUCCAACCGAAGCGUUACGAUAUCACAAUUAUAACUCGUCAUGUUAAUCGACAUAAUCAAGAAAAGUACACGAAACAAGGCAAUACUUUGAUACGGAAGGUAUUAACUACAAAAUUUGUCCUUUUCAUUAGGCAUAACGUCUUUUUCAAAUCCUCAUGCCUGGGGGGCUAGUGUACUGUCUCGACCGAAAGGUCAACUGAAAGUCUCGACCGACCGAAAGGUUGUACGGCCGAAAGGUCAACCGAAAGUCUCGACGCCGAAAGGUCAACUGAAAGUCUCGACCGACCAAACGGUUGUGCGACCGAAAGGUCAACCGAAAGUCUCGACCGACCGAAAGGUUGUGCGUAAAAUUAAAUUAGUGAUUAUAGCAAAGCCCAUAAGAUGGGCCCAAAUAUACAGGUGUGUGUUUUCAAAAUGUUAGGUGCAAAAAGAAAAGACCUAAGUAACUCUUAAGCCCAAUAAGAGAGUCUUAUAAAUAGAGGUUCAACUCAAAAGGUAAGGAGAAUUUUCAAUUGAUCUGAUAAGCAAAAAACUAUAUCUGACUUUGGCAUCGGAGCGCCUUGCAGGUACACACACCCACCUGUGAGGAGAAGAAGUCGAGAGCCCAACCCGAGAAGAAGCCGAGAUCACCUAGCUGAAGGAGAGGCCGAGAGCGCCUAGCUAAAGGGGAAGUCGAGAGCACUUAGCCGAAAGAGAAGCCGAGAGCCCAACCCGAGAAGAAGCCGAGAUCACCUAGCCGAAGGAGAAGCCGAGAGCACUUAGCCGAAAGAGAAGCCGAGAGCAUCUACCUUGAGGAGAAGUCUAGAGCACCCAAUGUGAGAAGAGACCUAAACCCUAAACCCUAAACCCUAAACCACACGCAGCAUUCGUUCCCAUUUUAAUCUUAAAUUUCAUCUAGGUUUUGUUUCUGCUAGGUUUCAUCUUGCAUAAUAUUUAGUCUAUUUUUGUCUUUCUAUGUUCAUCACUUUUUUUCAAUUUUCCUACCUUGAUUGUUAGUUUCCAAAACUGAUAGUAGCAUAAUUAAUUGAAACAGUGGCGUGCAUUGCAGAAAAGUGCGUUCUGUUUUGUUCCUUGAAAAGCAAAUUUAGAAGCAAAUAGACCCAGAAAGAGGUUCAGAAAAAAAAGUUUAGUUAGAAAAAUGGAGUUUAGAAGUCUCUAAUUGUUCAUUUCAAUUUUUUAGUAUAGUUCGCUGAACUAAUCAGUAAUAGUUCAGUGUUGACGAGGAUAAAUUUGUUUUGUUUUAUGCUGGCACAGGUAAAAUAUAUUGUAAAAUUUCUAAAGCUUCUUCCAUUAACAAAUACAUGUGUCUUUUCUUAGAAGAAUUUCAAGUUAAAGUUGUAAUGUCAGAAGUAAAAGGUAUUUGCAAUGCUCACUGCUUCAAUUUUUUUUUUAUCAGCAAAGAAUUAAAAUUAAAUUUAAACGGGACAUUUCAGGGAUGUCCCAACCCUUAUACAAACCUCCUCCAUCACAUAUAGAUAAAACACAUGUGGAACAGAGUUAUAGAUAAACCUGAGAAACUUUGGCAUAGAAACAGGGAAAACCGAAAGCUAUUAACCAAAAAAGAUAAGUGCAACCAUGCAGCAAAAGCAGGAGGAAACUUCCCAGCACAGUGCUCCCUUCUGUAUCUCAAGGACCAUGAACCAGCGCUCACUAUGACACGUGGCACUUCCUAUCUUUCAACUUUAGCAUGCCAGCACCUGUUUGUAACUCCUGUAUCCUUUCAAGUGUCCUUGGGUUGCCUAUCUUACGUACUUGGCCUCAACAUUUGACCCAGUUAAUUCACCGAACACCGCCUACAAACUUGAGAACAAAAACCUGCACCAUGCAACGCCCGUUGGUUCAGACACAUUGACGCUCACCCCCCGUUUCGGCCUACUCCUUAGCAUCUCUGCUUACUCCACUCCAGCUAAUAGCAGUAACCAGAAAAUGCCGGAGCUCCUCUCCAACAGACCUGAUAAACCUUAAGGACUUGAUAACGGAGGUCAGACAUCCAACUUUUGUUCCAGCCUCCAUACCAGCUAAACCUUCUAGGUUUAUAAACUUCACGCAUCCUGCAAGAACACCCUACAACAGUACUUACCACGAGCUCAGCAAUCUGGGUGUUGCUUGCCCAGAGCACUCCACGCUAACAGAUUGUAUGCACUUCUUUGCUAAGACCUAAACCUGCUGUCACCGGAGAACCAUAAGGCACUGGUUCGGGUUCAAAAUCCAGUCAGAUAGCCCAUAUGAAAAAUCAGUUGUGUUGUGUUUUAUCCACAACCAGGAUUGUACUUGAGCAUUUUGGAAUACUUCGUCCGCAUCUGGUACCCCAUCCUUAAAAACUAUCAGGUUCCUCUGCUCCCAAAUGCACCUGAUAAUUAUCACCCACAAACCUAUCCACACUUGAUUUUGCUUGCUAGAGAGGUGGAUUAAGUGAAAGUUCAGCAUAUGGUUCCUAAUAUCCUUGUUAUGGGCCCCCAAAACACCAAUCCAGCGAUAGCAUCGAGACCAGACUUGUUGUGCAAGGGUGCAGUCAAGGAACAGGUGUUGGGAUGAUUCUACGGCCAGAUUACACACAGGGCAUAAGGAAGAGAUCAUGUGCACUCCUCUUCUAGAAAGGUUAACUCUGGUAGGAAUUCUGUCAUGAAGGACUCUCCAUGCAGUUAUAAGUGCUUUUGGUGAGGCUUUUGCUUGCCAUAAGGUACUGAACACUCCUUCGUUUUCCCCCGUAGCUUGGUGAUUGGCCAGAACAGAGUAGGCUGAUCUCACUGAAAAAAUUCCAGUUGGAUCCUUCCUCCAUACAAGGUGAUCGUGAGAGUCCUUACAUAUAACUCCCGUAUACAAGCUUGAGAGCAUAUUUUCCUCCAUGCUUGACUCCCAAUCAUACCUAUCCCUUCUCCAAUUAAGCUGCCACUGCCACCUAUCAUUCUCCCAUCCUCCUACCUCCCCCACCGUCUUACCCUGAUCAAGCGACAAAGAAUAGAGUCUAGGAUACAGGGCUUUUAGGCAAAAAUUUUGUAACCACGUGUCCUCCCAAAAACGGACUAGGCCUCCAUCGCCUAUUCUCCACACAAUGGCGUUGUGGAACCAAUCUUCCUCUUCCCCGUCACCACAUACCUUAGCUAGGUCCUUCCACCACCAUGAUUGGUAUCUCUUCCUUGUCUCUCCUCUAAUUGUUUCUGUACCAUAUUUAGAAACAAUAAUAUCCUUCCAUUUUCCUCCCUCAUUAUUCAUGAUCCUCCAUUUCCAUUUUGCCAAAAGAGCCGCAUUAAAGAACCUAGUCUCUUUAAUGCCCAACCCUCCUUCCUCCUUGUGCCUACAAAUAUUUUUCCAACUUACCCAAGAGAUUGAUUUAUUUUCACUACCCCAUGCCCAAAGGAACUUCCUUUGCAACCUGCAGAUGCUGUCAUGUACAGCUGCAGGGGCUUUAAAAAUAGAGAAGUAAAACAGAGGUAUGGCAGUGAACACCGACUGGAGCAGACAAAUUCGGCCCGCCAUAGAUAAGAAUUUUCCUUUCCAAGUACUAAGUCUGGACUCAAUUUUCUUUAUUACCGGCUCCCAAAACUGUUUCUUCCUCGGGUUUCCCCCCACUUCGACUCCCAGAUAUUUAAGAGGGAGCCGCAUGGUGUUACAGUUUAGGGUCUUCGCAUAGGUAUCCAGGGUAUAGCUGUCAACACUAAUGCCUACCAACUUCGAUUUGUGGAAAUUAACUUUCAAUCCAGACAGGAUUUCAUAGCACCGGAGGAUGGCUUUGAUAGAGAAAAUAUUUGAGAAGGAAUCUUCACACAUAAAAAGUGUAUCAUCUGCAAACUGAAGUAAGCAACACUCAAUACUGCUUCUUCCCACCUUUACUCCCCUGAGAACAUUCAUACGUAGCGCUUGUCUUACCAACCCUGCUAAACCUUCGGCUACCACUAGGAACAAGAAGGGAGCUAGGGGGUCCCCCUGCCUCAACCCCCUAGAAGGUUGGAAUUCCUCCGUAGGGCUCCCAUUGAUCAAGACAGAAACAGUCGACGACACCAAACACCCUUUAACCCACAAGAUCCAUUUAUCAUGAAAACCCAAUCUACAAAGCAUAUCAAACAAGAAAGACCACCUCACAGAGUCGUACGCCUUUUCAAAGUCUACCUUAAAACAGACCCCGCUCCUCCUAUUUAACUUUAACUCUUCUAAAAUUUCGUUAGCCAUAACAACACUACCCGUUAACCCUCUUCCACUAAGGAAGGCGGACUGACAAUCGUCAAUGAUCAUCGACAUAACUUUCCUCAUGCGUCGGGACAAGAUCUUUGUGAUUAUCUUAUAAAUAACUCCUACAAGAGAUAUCGGACGAAAUUGAUCUAGCGAGGAAGGGUCUCUAACCUUGGGGACAAGAGCAAUGAAGGAGGCAUUGCAACCUUUCGGAAAAGUUCCCGUAGCAUGAAAAAAGUGCACCGCUGCCAUAACAUCAGGCUUGAUCACAUCCCAAGAUGACUUAACAAAGUUGAAGUUAAAGCCAUCCGGGCCCGGGCUCUUAGACCCUCCACACUGCCACACAGCAUCCUUCACUUCAUCCUCGGAAAAAGUACUUGUCAUGUUCCUGCUCACCUCAGGAGAUAGAGAUUUAAAGUCCACUAUACCCAGAUUAAUGCCAUAGUCCUGUGUAGCCGUGAAGCGCUUUUCAAACAAAGACUUAGCUUCCCUACGAACAACAUCCGGUUCUUCACACCACAAACCGUCAAUCUCAACCCCUUUGACCUCAUUCUUAAGUCUUCUCCAUCUAAUUGCAUUGUGGAAGAAUUUUGAGUUAAUGUCCCCAUGCUUAAUCCAGUUCCCCCUCGCCUUUUGUCUGUAUAAUGAGUCUAACUUUUUCUCAAUCAACCCCAAUUGGCUGAAUAAUUCCAUUCUUCUCAACUUACCAUUUUCCACCAGAACAUCAUUGUCAUCUUUGACAUCAAGAUCCUCUAUUUCUGCCACAAUAUUUUUCUUUUUAAGUUCCAUACAGCCGAAUUCUUCUUUAUUCCACACUCUUAUAUCAGCCUUCAGGAGCUUCAAUUUAUCCUUAAGAGAGGACAUACUAUUGCCAUGAACAGAAUAUGAUCCCCAUUUUUCCUUUACCAGAGCCUUAAACCCCGGUUCUUCAAGCCAUACAUCUAAAGACCUAAACGGUUUAGGCCCCCAGUCUUUAACACACGACUUCAACACCAGGGCACAGUGGUCAGACACCAUUCUUGGUUGUACAUGUUGCUUAGAUGCAGGCCAUUGGUUGAGCCACUCCUCAGAGACCAAGAUUCUAUCAAGUCUACUCUUAGCCGUGCCAUUGGAUUUGAACCAAGUGUACUUUUUACCAACAAAGGGUAGGUCCACCAACCCAUUACUUUCAAUAAAGCAAUUAAAACCGUCAAUCUCCUUCUUUUGGCUUAAGCUACCUCUGAUCCCUUUCCUUUCAUCUUCACUCCUAACAGCGUUGAAAUCACCACAGACACACCACGCCAAGUUCACAUAUGUUUGCUUAAGAGCCGUCAAAGUUUCCCACAAAACACCCUUAUCCUUUAGGUUACACGCUGCAUAGACAUUUACCACUACGCACUGACGUUGAGCUUUCAGAUGUUGGCCCACAAUUGCAAUGUAACCUUUUCCAAUCACAUGGCUGCCAUACUCGAACACUUCUUUGCGCCACAUAGUUAUCAUACUCCCUGCCCCAUUAACCCCUUCGUAGUGGACCCAACCGAUACUACUUUCACCCCAUAAAGAGAAACACUUAGAAUCUGAAAAAGAUGUGGAUUUAGCCUCCUGCAGGCAUAAGAACUCAGCACCCUCCUUUCCCACAAUGUGUCUCAAGUACCGUGCUUUCGUCCCCCCUCCCAACCCUCUUAUAUUGAGAUUUACUAUAAUCAUGGACCCACUUUUUUCUUCCCCCCCUUAGACUUAUUGUUAACUUCAUUGUCUCUUACCUCCAAACGGCCCAAUUCUCCUACCACUCCCUCCGCAUCCCCUGAGCAUUGUAACCCCAAGUUUUGGCCUAACUCCCAAACUCUAACGGAUUCAGCAGCUUGCUCUUUUGACUUAAUCCGACUAUUACACAGAUUAAUAUCAUUAAUCGAUUCAGCAAAGGAGCAGCGACUUAACCUGGAUGAGGAGGUUACACCAUGGAGGGAUCCGAUACCGCCGUUGGUUCUCCAUUUUGGCUGGGCGAUUUUGCUCUCCAUCAAUCUACGAAAUUCCGGCGAGGUUUUGCUUGCCCCUUCUGUGUGGGUUGACGCCUUUUUCCCAUUAGUUGUCCCCAUUCCGCACCCCUCUCGUCGGCGAUUUGUGCUUACACUGGGCUGGGGAUCUGAACUUCCUGAUGAUGAAUCUUGCCCCUCACUAAAAUGAUGCGUUGCAUGGCAUGGGGAGAGACCCGAAUCCUUUUCCUGCACCAGCUCCACUGCUGAGAGGGCAACUCGCCCACUCAUUUUCGACGUAGAACAAAGGUGUGGAGGUGGAGACAAGGCCAGAACUCCAACCCCCUCCUCGUAACCCAUUUUUCGUUCCGAUUCCUCUUUCCAAAAAGGCACUGGGCCUCCCUCUUCUUCUUCUUUACUAGACGCACCCUGGCUCUCUAAUUGGGCUUCAACUUGCUUAGGCCCAAGAAGGUUUGCACUUUGAACCCCUUCAAGUAGGUUAACCAAGCAUUGUUGAAUUACUGUGCAGGCUGCGUUGACUUGGCUUGGAACUGAUAAAGCAGCCCCUCCCUCUGACUCCCCUAUCACUUGUUUUCCUUCUAUGACAGCUGCAUUAGCUAUGCUAGAAGCUGCUAAAGCAGCCCCUCCCUCGGACUCCCCUCGCACACGUUUUCCUUCAUUUAGAGACAAAAACCCACUUUUGUUCUGACAUCCCAUAUCACUCCGUGCCUUCUUGUCAAACUGCUUCCACUUUGUCUCCUGCUUCAGUUGGGAUUGCCCUACCUCCUCGGGUACCACACCCCACCGCCUGUUGCACUGGUUUCGGUCAGCACCUUCCUCUCCAGAGCUUCCUUCGGAAAAAGUUCCCUCCACAACAGUUUCCGACGACGAAAUGCUAUCCGAUGAGCCAAGAUGAUAUUCAAGACAAGAACAAUCUCCACUCCUUAAACUCAAGAUCUCUUCGACCAGGGAAAUGUUGUAAACUUGACCAUUAAUCCUAAAACCCUUCGCCAUUUCUGCUUUCUGAGAUCUAGGUAGCCGAACCAGCAAACGGGCGUACUCCAGAUUCUCCCAAGAAAGAGUAUUUUCAUCGAUAUCUACCAGCGAUGCUACCUCUCCAACCACCCUAGAGAAGCAAUCUUUAUUCCACAAAGUUAUCGGUACACCAAAACACCUCACCCAUACAAUUUUAUGGUCCACUACAUACUUUGCGGACCAGGGUUCGAUACUACCGAACAACGAUAGAAACCAUUCCUUGUUGAGCUCGAAGAGAUCUUCCAUCCGCUCUCCUUCCUUAGGAGUAAGUAGAAUAAGAUUAUCACCCAAAAACCUCAGUUUAAUCAUGUUCAUGCCCCCUUUAACGAACUCAUCCUUAAGGGAGUCGAAAGUAAGAUCAGGGGACAUCCAACCAACCGCACUACGAACCAACCAUGGUGGGGUAUUUGAUUUUGUUACAAAAACAGGGCCUUUCCAUUCGCCUCGCUCAGAUACGCGAACGGCAUCAGCAUAAGACUGUUUAAGGGAAGGGCCUCUACGAACUGCUUGCCCUGAUACAAAAAAUUUUUCACGCCAAACCUCCUUCCCCUUUGACCGACCCCCUGGGCCAUUGCCAUGACUGAAAUCACUUUGGCGCACCUUUGGCUUUUCCUUACUAAAAUCAACCUCUGGUCUCCUGUAUUUUGGGAGGUUAACAUAAAGUUUGAGGUUGCCAAUAUAGAUUUGAUCCAGCUGCUUCUCCAACCUCGCCUCAUUUGGCACUGGGAAGAAACUCACAAAGCCAAAUCUUCUACCCCAUCUAUUUGGACGUUUAGAUAUAAACACAUCUUUCACUCUAGCCCAUUUUUGAAAGAUUCUUAGCAUGUCUUGCUCCCCAUGACUAGUUGGGAAAUUAGAGAAGAAGAAAGUGCUUGAGUUUUUGGUUGAAGACUUUCCUGCCUUAUAAUCUGCCACUCUUCGCCGAUGAUCUUCCCUUUCCCACCUACUCCGAUCUUCCUUUUCCCACCUUCUCCGAUCGCCCAUCACUCUUUUGCUCACUGCUUCAAUGCUCACUGCUUCAAAUACAACUUCAAGUUGUAUGAAAGGAAGUUUAAAAGUAUUUACAUUUCACAACUCCCUUUGCUUCAAUUUCCCUCUCUCAUGUAAGAGUCACAAUUUCAAACCCUUUUACUUGUUUUCUCCGUAUUUCAUCGUAGAAUGGUUUUGUACAAAAAGACAUAGAAAGACCUAUGGAAGAAAUAGGGUUGAAACACAUGCAUAACAGUUACCAUCACUUCUAAAGGUUUGCAUCAAGGUAGAAUGAGAGGUCAAGAAGAAUAUCCCCAUAGAAUUGCUUAGAAUCCUUUGCCAACCGAAGAAGGUGUCUCCCUCCGGAUUCAGAUUGGAAUACUGUGAAAAAGAUAAUGUGAUUAUCAAUCAAAUCAUUAAUUUAAAAUUAACAAACCAACAAAAGAAAUCAGAAGACAAGUCAUGAAUUAUAUUAGCAUAAGAUUUUGUACAGCUACAUUUUUAGAUCAAUGUGUGGGAGAUCAAACAAAUCUCUGAUAAAUUAUAGUUUAACCAUAUUGCUUCAAUGAGAUUCGACAAUCACAUAGCUGAGAUCAGCUACAAUUUACUAUUGUCAGUUACUAGUGCAUUUGAUAUAUAUAUAUAUAUGUGUCUGUUACUAUUAGUAUAAUUGAUAAUAAUAAUAAUAAUAAUAAUAUUCUUAUUAUUAUAAAUAAUAUUAAUAAUAAUAAUAACAAGUGUUAAUAAUAAUAAUAAAAUUAAUAAAAAGUAAUAUAAAUAAUAAUAAAUAUUAUUAUUUUAAUAUUACACCGUGCAUUAGUAGGUAUAUGCCAUUCACAUGGUUAAGGCCUGCAUUAGGAUUUUAGGUAAUAUGUCUAAACAAUAUAUGUCUAAUCAUAUGGAUGGAAUUUCGCUCUUAAAAGUUAUUUUUGACAUUAGCACGAGCCUAGUAAGGUUUUUAUUCAUGUACAAGUGUAUUGAGACUUUCCUGUUGUAUGUUGGGUUAAAGUGAACAUUGAUGAUGAUGCUUGAGAGUCUCCUAACCCUGCUGCUUGUGCAAGUAUCCUUAAAGGAAGUCACGAGGACUAUAUUGGUGGUCUUGUAUGUUCCUGUUUCUUACCAAAAUUUUGAUUUGAUCUCCACAUGUUUUUUAUCUUUUUAUGUUAUGUUUCAUGUAAUAUUGACAAAAAAAACAUCUUUAACAGCAAACAGUCAUGGCUUAACAAGUGUAUCUUUGAACUACUUUGGCUAUGCAUCAUGAGCGAAAGCAUUGAUGGAAAACAACAUUUUGAUGUUGAAUUUGUUGAGCAGUGCUACAUGGAAGUUUCUUGUACGAAAGUAGUUUAGAAAUAACAGAAAAAAGUGAACCACCAAUGCAUGCUGCUGUCAUGCUAGGAAUAGUACAAUACAGGGUUUGUAUACAUACACAAGUCAACAAAUAGUUGUUAAGUCUUCCAUUGACAUUCAGAACUAAAGAGAAGUACAGAGUGUGACUUUGGAAGAGGUGUGGAAGAAAUAAGGUACAAAGAAACGCAUAACACCCAAAAGGGUAACAUCUCCUGAAGGCUCGAUUCACAUAAAGUCUAAGCACAUUGUUCAGUGUCCUGCUCAGAAUUCUGGUGAGCUGAAGAGACUUCCUUCUACUCCCUCCAUACAUACAAACAAAUACUGUAAACAAGAUAGUGUGAUUAACUCAUUCACUUCAAAAUCAAGACCCCAAAAAAGAAUGUACAUCAGCAUACAAAUUUUUUAGAGCUUCAUAUUUAGAUUUUUCCAAUUAAAGUGCAGUGCUAAAGCUUCACAACACAAUGCUAAUUGCAUUCACUGCUAGCUCCAUGUUUAGAUUAAAAAUAUGCGAAAUUAAACAAAUUUAAGAUAAAUUAUUGUUGAGCCAUAUUGAUUAAAGGAGAUUCUGCAAUGGGGUUGGAGUAGCUACAUACAGCUUGAAUUGAGUAUGGUUAGUGAGUGAUGUAGUUGAUGAAUGAUAAAGCACAUGUCUCUGCCAUUAAUGUAUAUUCUAAUUCCUACUUUCAGAAGCAACUAAGAAAAUUGUAAUCGAAAAGGUACAAAAUAUUGUGGAGAAUUAGAACCUGUUGAAGUGGCAGACAAAUUGAAAUAGGUGCACGCCUAAUUUUGAACUUGUCACUCAUCUUAUGGCCAAACAUCUAAUUUUUUAUGCACGCCUAAUUCUGACAACGCUCCUCCAGCAAUGGACAAUUAAAGAUUUCAAGAGAAGAGAUGGAUUUGGGGAGACCCUCCGCUGGUAAGCAUUCAAGGCUGGGACAAAAAAGAAGUGAGAGAGAGGAGAGGUGGCAGAGACCCUUGUAGUGCAUCUUUUUAAGAUUUUGGCAAUAUUGGAUUUCUAGAGAGGUGAGAGAGCGUGGCAGCAAAACUUCAUCGGGAAAACACUCCACCUCCAACUGUUGAAUAGUCAAGCUUUGAAGACAUGUGUUGGGAUCCAAGUUGUCUCUCAAGGAGGCGAUAAGUUUUAAACAUGAAAGAGACAUUUCUUUUAUAUUUAAUGGCAAACCUCCAUCUGGGAACAACUCAACUUCUGGACACAUAGUUAUAUGCAGCAAGGUAAGGGACGGAAACAUGAUUUGCAUGGGUUUGGGAAAAAAGAAUGAUUUAAAUUGAGGGCAAUCUUCAAUAGGUAGAUCCAUGAGAUGAUUAUGAGCGUACUCCUGUGAAAUUCUUUCUAUGUGGUGGCAGUAUAUCAGUUGAAGAGAACGGAGCUUUGGAAAGAAAUGUAGUGGAAAGAUUGUAAGAGAGUCGGUGCCUCCAUCAGUAUGCGAUGUGUCCAUACUGUUUCCGCUAAUUCUGAGCUCAUCACUAACAACUACUUUCUUUAAAUCAGUACCUUUCAGUUUCGGACAUUUAUCCACAUGAAGCUUUUGAAGACGUGGAAAAGACGUAGUUUUACACUCCCAUUCUUCCCAUUCCUUCAUAUUGUAGAAGUGGAAAUGAAGUGAAAUGGAUUGAGUGGAGGAAUGAAUGGUAUAGUGAUGAAUGAAAAGAGUAGUUAGAAAAGAUGACUUGACUUUAAGAACAUGUUUUUCUUUUAUGGCAACUCAACCAAUAUAAAAUGUGAGCUGUUGGAUAUUCAUUCAACGGUUGUGAUGAAUGAACGAAUGGAAAGAGGGUUGUGGGCCCCAGUGAAGUAGUAAUUGUUAACUGUUUCUGAUGUACUAAAUUUGAGAGUUAUUUUUUAUAUGAAAUUAGCUUUCAGAUUAUAUAAUUCAGAAGUUUUUUUUUUUAAUUGCGUGAUUAGCUUUUGGAUUAUAUAAUUUAUAGGUAUUUUAAAUCAAAAAAAACUUAAGGAUUUUAUAAAUAUAAAAAAAAAGAAUAAAAUGGUAUUUUUAUAUUUAGUAUGGAGGUAGAAGGUAUUGAAGUUGAGGAAGAAGCAGUCUUGAUCAUCACACACAAGUGCUAAUAACCAACCAAAUAUAGUGGUCCACAAAACUCAAGACGAAAGAAAAAAUGAGAACCUAGAGCAGUGCACUCCAAUGGAGGAGAAGGAAAACCAAAAUCUAUUUUUAAUUUUAAAACCCUAGAGGGUAAUUUCGUCUUACCCAGCCUAUUCCAUUACAAAUUAAUGGGUUAACUUCAUUUUUUAAAAAUGGUAACGUUUUAGUUUAGUUUUUUUUUCUCUUAUUAUUUUCUAAUAUGAAAACUAAAAUCAAUAUGCAUAUAUUGACUAUAAUAUAUAUGUAUAUGUAUAUGUAUAAUAAUAAUAAUAAUAUCAAUAAAUGGAAAUUCUAAAUAUAUAUCAUAUAAAAAACACUAAAUAAUAAUUAGAAAUAACAUUCAAAUAAAAUCUAAAUAAUUAUCUCAAAAGUCAAUCCAACAUAUUCCUUUUGAAACAUAAAAUCUAAAUAGGAAAAUACAAUCCAAAAUCAUAAAAAUAUAUUACUAUCCAAUAUCAAUAAUUCACGUCUCUAGCCUUUACGUAAUAUUAGGGUUAGAGUCUUGAAUGCAAUAAUAAAGAUUAUAUUUUUUUUUUUAUCCCCAUAUACAAUAAGAAUUUUUUAAUUAUAAAAGAUUAAGUAAUAAAUAAUUAAACUAAUGGUACCUGUUCUAUAUUAUGUAACUAAUUUUGAGUUAAAAUAAAUGUCUCGAUAUUUUUUUGAAGGAUAGAACANNNNNNNNNNNNNNNNNNNNNNNNNNNNNNNNNNNNNNNNNNNNNNNNNNNNNNNNNNNNNNNNNNNNNNNNNNNNNNNNNNNNNNNNNNNNNNNNNNNNNNNNNNNNNNNNNNNNNNNNNNNNNNNNNNNNNNNNNNNNNNNNNNNNNNNNNNNNNNNNNNNNNNNNNNNNNNNNNNNNNNNNNNNNNAUAUUAUAUAUAUAUAUAUAUAUAUAUAUAUAUAUAUUGUAAAAACUUUCAUGUUAGACAUUAUUAUGUAACUUGACAUCUCAGGUAGGUUGACAUUAUAAAAACAGAUUCACAAAACUGUACUCAAAUAAAAGUAAUCAACCAAAAUUAGCAAUAAAAGGACUACAAGGAAUUGAUGACAUUGUAGGAAAAACAUGACUAGACAAAACAAAUAUGGAUUCUAAAAUCAAAAUGACUCAAACACAAUGAAUUUCACCAAUUAAAAAUAGCAAGAAAGACUCAAAAUAAAGCAAAAACAGAAUUACUAACACAAAAACAGAAUCAAAGUAUCCAACAACUCAAAAAAAAAUUUCAGCACAACCAUAACACUAGAUACCACAUGAUAUGAGCUGGAUUGACACUAAACAAGAUACACAACAUAUAAGGAGGCUUAAGGUCAUCUCAAUGGAGGAUAAUGCCAUCCAAAAGAGAAGCCAAACUCAUUCAAACAAUGAGUGCCACGUCAUUAUCACAAACACUUGGCGGAAUUGAAAGGAAAGCAAGAACAAAAUAAGAACACAAAUAGAAAAACAAUUGAAAUGUGUAAUUGCAAAAACUGGACAGAAUUGAAAGAAGAAAUGAAUCUAUCUAUUGAAAUUGAAGAAACAAGAUGAAGGAAGAUGAAACUUAUGUGGUUGAAGCUUGGUUUGGGAAAUGGACACGCCACUUGGAUGAUGAAUGUUCCAAGAUAAGUGCAGAUUUGCCGCCACUUGAAUGCUCCCAAUGCAUCACAAGAUAAGACAAGGAAGAGGAGAACUAGUCUCACAAUCACUCACAAAUUGAGCAUAGUAACUUUACUCUAUUUUCAAAUCUGAAUUUUACAAGAGCAAGCACCUCUAUUUAUAGCCUUAGAGGUGCUGAAAUAAAAAGCUAAUCAAAUUCAAAUUUCCCUCUAAAUCUAAUUCAAAUUUGGAGCCAAACUUGAGUCACAUGGAAGGUGUGACCUUAUGUUGGGCUUGGGCCUCAUAUUUUUAAGAAGACUACUAGGAAGAACUUCAACUAUUGUUGUCCUUGACCAUUCCUCUUAUUGAUGGCCUCUGUAACUGCUUGUUGAGAAUACCUUUAGAGUAUAGCAUCCUUGGUCAUCUUCAUGUAUUUUUCAUUCUCAUCACCUUUUGUGAUUUGGUUAUGGAUGUGCCUCCUUACCUGAGCGCAAACAACAUAUGAAAGUUCUUGUGUGAAUUUUUUCAGCGCAAUACGGACCCAGAAUAAAAUUGCACAAAGUUGGGCGAAAUUUCACUAGUUUUGGUAGAGGAUAGCCUUUGGUUUGCACAAAAUUUAUGAAAAAUUCUCCCGAAAUAGUUUUUUCCUGAAAUUCCACGUAAGAAUCUCCACUGAAUUUGGGACAAAACGCGAAAAAUUUCUGGUCAAACGGAUGAGUAUUCACCCACGAAAAAAUCAAACAGUUUCACACACAAACGAACCUUCCUUUCAGCCAUGACAGUGAUGAAUAAAAAGUUUAUUGCCAAUCUUGUGGGACGAAUGUGGAGCUCAAGUCUCAGCCAAACCUCAAUAGACACAGUGACACGUCUGGUAAAAAUUUCAGACCAAAAUACCCAAGGAGUAAGGCGUAGUAAGUCCCAGACCGAGAGUGAACAAAACUAGUUUUCCGAAACAAAACGUCCUGGCUUUUCUUCCCCGUAUCUUCCUUCUGUGAUUUGUUUAUUCAGCGCAAUACAAACCCAGAAUAAAAUUGCAGAAAGUUGGGCGAAAUUUCACAAGUUUUGGUAGAGGAUAGCCUUUGUUUUGCACAAAAUUUCUGAAAAAUACUCCCGAAUUAGAUUUUUCCUGAAAUUCCACGUAAAAAUCUCAAUUGAAAUUCGGAAAAAACGCGACAAAUUUCGGGUCAAAUGGAUGAGUAUUCACCCACGAAAACAUCAAACAAUUUCACACACAAACGAACCUUCCUUUUAGCCCUAGCAGUGAUAAAUAAAAGUUUAUUGUCAAUCUUGUGGGACGAAUGUGGAGCUCAAGACACAACUAAAACUCAAUAGACACAGUGACGAACGUCUGGUAAAAGUUUCAGACCAAAAUACUCAAGGAGUAAGGCGUAGUAAGUCCCAGACAGAGAGUGAACAAAAUUGGUUUUCCGAAAACAAAACGUCUUGGUUGCAAACAACAUAUGAAAGUACUUGUGUGAAUUUUUUCAACACAAUACGGACUCAAAAUAUAAUUGCAGAAAGUUGGGCGAAAUUGAAGAAGUUUUGGUAGGGGAUAACGUUUGGUUUGCAAAAAAAUUUCUGAAAAAUUCUCCAAAAAUAGUUUUUUCUUGAAAUUAACCGUAAGAAUCUCCACUGAAUUUGGGACAAAACGCGACAAAUUUCGGGUCAAACGGAUGAGUAUUCACUAACGAAAAAAAUCAAACAGUUUCACACAUAAACGAACCUUCCUUUCACACAUUGCAGUGAUGAAUAAAAAAUUUAUUGCCAAUCUUGGGGGACGAAUCUGGAGCUCAAGUCUCAGCCAAAACUCAAUAGACACAGAGAUCAACGUCUGGUAAAAAUUUCAGACCAAAAUACCCAAGGAGUAAGGCGUAGUAAGUCCCAGACCGAGAGUGAACAAAACUGGUGUUCCGAAAACAAAACGUCCUGGCUUUUCUUCCCCGUAUCUUCCUUUUGUGAUUUGUUUGUGGACGUGCCUCCUUACCUGGGUGCAAACAACAUAUGAAAGUACUUGUGUGACUUUUUUCAGCGCAAUACGGACCCAGAAUAAAAUUGCACAAAGUUGGGCGAAAUUUCACAUGCUUUGGUAGAUGAUAGCCUUUGGUUUGCACAAAAUUUCUGAAAAAUUCUCCUGAAAUAGUUUUUUCCUGAAAUUCCACGUAAGAAUCUCCAUUGAAUUUGGGACAAAACGAGACAAAUUUCGGGUGAAACGGAUGAGUAUUCACCCACGAAAAAAAUCAAACAGUUUCACACAAAAACGAACCUUCCUUUUAGCCCUGGCAGUGAUGAAUAAAAAAUUUAUUGCUAAUCUUGCGGGACGAAUCUGGAGCUCAAGUCUCAGCCAAAACUCAAUAGACACAGUGACGAACGUCUGGUAAAAAUUUCAGUCCAAAAUCCCCAAGGAGUAAGGCGUAGUAAGUCCCAGACCGAGAGUGAACAAAACUGGUUUUCCGAAAACAAAACGUCUGGCUUUUGUUCCCCGUAUCUUCCUUUUGUGAUUUGUUUAUGGACGUGCCUCCUUACCUGGGUGCAAACAACAUAUGAAAGUACUUGUUGAGUUUUUUCAGCGCAAUACGGACCCAGAAUAAAAUUGCACAAAGUUGGGCGAAAUUUCACAAGUUCUAGUAGAGGAUAGCCUUUGGUUUGCACAAAAUUUAUGAAAAAUUCUCCCGACAUAGUUUUUUCCUGAAAUUCCACGUAAGAAUCUCCACUGAAUUUGGGACAAAACGCGACAAAUUUCGGGUCAAACGGAUGACUAUUCACCCACGAAAAAAAUUAAACAGUUUCACACAUAAUUGAACCUUCCAUUCAGCUCUGGCUGUGAUGAAUAAAAAAUUUAUUGCCAAUCUUGCAGGACGAAUCUGGAGCUGAAGUCUCAGCCAAAACUCAAUAGACACAGUGACGAACGUCUGCUAAAAAUUUCAGACCAAAAUACCAAGGAGUAAGGCGUAGUAAGUCCCAGACCGAGAGAGAACAAAACUGGUUUUUCGAAAAGAAAACGUCCUGGCUUUUCUUCCCCUCAUCUUCCUUUUGUGAUUUGUUUAUGGACGUGCCUCCUUACCUGGAAGCAAACAACAUAUGAAAGUACUUGGGUGAGUUUUUUCAGCGCAACACGGACCCAGAAUAAAAUUCCACAAAGUUGGGCGAAAUUUCACAAGUUUUGGUAGAGGAUAGCCUUUCGUUUGCACAAAAUUUAUGAAAAAUUCUCCUGAAAUAGUUUUUUCCUGAAAUUCCACGUAAGAAUCUCCACUGAAUUUGCGACAAAACGUGACAAAUUUCGGGUCAAACGGAUGAGUAUUCACCAACGAAAAAAAUCAAACAGUUUCACACAAAAACGAACCUUCCUUUCAGCCCUGGCAGUAAUGAAUAAAAAAAUUAUUGCCAAUCUUGCGGGACGAAUUUGGAGCUCAAGUCUCAGCCAAAACUCAAUAGACACAGUGCCGAACGUCUGGUAAAAAUUUCAGACGAAAAUACCCAAGGAGUAAGGCGUAGUAAGUCCCAGACUGAGAGUGAACAAAACCGAUUUUCCGAAAACAAAACGUCCUGGCUUUUUUUUCCCGUAUCUUCCUUUUGUGAUUUGUUUAUGGACGUGCCUCCUAACCUGGGUGCAAACAACAUCUGAAAGUACUUGUGUGAGUUUUUUCAGCGCAAUACGGACCCAGAAUAAAAUUACACAAAGUUGGGCGAAUUUUCACAAGUUUUGGUAGAGGAUAGCCUUUGGAUUGCAGAAAAUUUCUGAAAAAUACUUCCGAAAUAGUUUUUUCCUAAAAUUCCACGUAAGAAUCUCCACUGAAUUUGGGACAAAACGUGACACAUUUCGGGUCAAACGGAUGAGUAUUCACCCACGAAAACAAUCAAACAGUUUCACCCACGAAAAACAUCGAACAGUUUCACACACAAACAAACCUUACUUUUUGCUCUGGCAUUGAUGAAUAAAAAAUUUAUUGCCAAUCUUGUGGGACAAAUCUGGAGCUCAAGUCUCAGCCAAAACUCAAUAGACGCAGUGACGAACGUCUGCUAAAAAUUUCUUUCCAAAAUACCAAAGAAGUAAGGCGUACUAAGUCCCAGACCGAGAGUGAACAAAACUGGUUUUCCGAAAACAAAACGUCUUGGCUUUUCUUCCACGCAUCAUACUUUUGUGAAUUGUUUAUGGACGUGCCUCCUUACCUGGGUGAAAACAACAUAUGAAAGUACUUGUGUGAGUUUUUUCAGCGCAAUACGGACCCAGAAUAAAAUUGCACAAAGUUGGGCGAAAUUUCACAAGUUUUGGUAGAGGAUAGCCUUUGGUUUGCCCAAAAUUUAUGAAAAAUUCUCCCGAAAUAGUUUUUUCCUGAAAUUCCACGUAAGAAUCUCCACUGAAUUUGGGACAAAACGCGACAAAUUUCGGGUCAAAUGGAUGAGUAUUCACCCACGAAAAAAAUCAAACAGUUUCACACACAAACGAACCUUCAUUUCACCCCUGGCAGUGAUGAAUAAAAAAUUUAUUACCAAUCUUGCGGGACAAAUCUGGAGCUCAAGUCUCAGCCAAAACUCAAUAGACACAGUGACGAACGUCUGGUAAAAAUUUCAUACCAAAAUACCCAAGGAGUAAGGCGUAGUAAGUCGCAGACCGAGAUUGAACAAAACUGGUUUUCCGAAAACAAAACGUCCUGAUUUUUCUUCCCUGUAUCUUCCUUUUGUGAUUUGUUUAUGGUCGUGUCUCCUUACCUGGGUGCAAACAACAUAUGAAAGUACUUCUGUGAGUUUUUUCAGCCCAAUACAGACGCAGAAAAAAUUACACAAAGUUGGGCGUUAUUUCACAAGAUUUGGUAGAUGAUAGCCUUUCGUUUGCACAAAAUUUAUGAAAAAUUCUCCCGAAAUAGUUUUUUCCUGAAAUUCCACGUAAGAAUCUCCACUGAAUUUGGGACAAAAUGCGACAAAUUUCGCAUCAAACGGAUGAGUAUUCACCCGCGAAAAAAUCAAACAGUUUCCCACACAAACGAACCUUCCUUUCAGCCCUGGCAGUGAUGAAUAAAAAAUUUAUUACCAAUCUUGCGGGAUGAAUCUAGAGCUCAAGUCUCAGCCAAAACUCAAUAGACACAGUGACGAACGUCUGGUAAAAAUUUCAGACGAAAAUACCCAAGGAGUAAGGCGUAGUAAGUCCCAGACCGAGAGUGAACAAAACCGAUUUUCCGAAAACAAAACGUCCUGGCUUUUCUUCCCCGUAUCUUCCUUUUCUGAUUUGUCUAUGGACGUGCCUCUUUACCUGGGUGCAAACAUCAUAUGAAAGUACUUGUGUGAGUUUUUUCAGAGCAAUACGGACCCAUAAUCAAAUUGCACAAAGUUGGGCGAAAUUUCACAAGUUUUGGUAGAGGAUAGCCUUUGCUUUGCCCAAAAUUUAUGAAAAAUUCUCCCGAAAUAGUUUUUUCUUGAAAUUCCACGUAAGAAUCUCCACUGAAUUUGGGACAAAACGCGACAAAUUUCGGGUGAAACGGAUGAGUAUUCACCCACGAAAAAAUCAAACAGUUUCACACACAAACGAACCUUCAUUUCAGCCCUGGCAGUGAUGAAUAAAAAAUUUAUUGCAAAUCUUGCGGUACGAAUCUGGAGCUCAAGUCUCAGCCAAAACUGAAUAGACACAGUGACGAACGUCUGGUAAAAAUUUCAUACCAAAAUACCCAAGGAUGAAGGCGUAGUAAGUCCUAGACCGAGAGUGAACAAAACUGGUUUUCCGUAAACAAAACGUCCUGGCUUUUCUUCCACGCAUCUUCCUUUUCUGAUUUGUUUAUGGACGUGCCUCCUUACCUGGGUGCAAACAACAUAUGAAGGUACUUGUGUGAGUUUUUUCAGCGCAAUAUGGACCCAGCAUAAAAUUGCACAAAGUUGGGCGAAAUUUCACAAGUUUUUGUAGAGGAUAGCCUUUGGUUUGCACAAAAUUUAUGAAAAAUUCUGCCGAAAUAGUGUUUUCCUGAAAUUCCACGUAAGAAUCUCCACUGAAUUUGGGACAAAACGCAACAAAUUUCGGGUCAAACGGAUGAGUAUUCACCCACGAAAAAAAUCAAAUAGUUUCACACACAAACGAACCUUCAUUUCAGCCCUGGCAGUGAUGAAUAAAAAAUUUAUUGCCAAUAUUGUGGGACGAAUCUGGAGCUCAAGUCUCACCCAAAACUCAAUAGACACAGUGACGAACGUCUGGUAAAAAUUUCACACCAAAAUGCCCAAGGAGUAAGGCGUAGUAAAUCCCAGACCGAGAGUGAACAAAACUAGUUUUCCGAAAACAAAACGUCCUCGCUUUUCUUCCCCAUAUUUUUCUUUUGUGAUUUGUUUAUGGAAAUGCCUCCUUACCUGGGUGCAAACAACCUAUGAAAGUACUUGUGUGAGUUUUUUCAGCGCAAUACAUGAUGAGAAUUAAAUAAAGGAGGCCUAUAGUAAUGAAGGACAAGGUCACUCGCCCUCACACUUAAAAAUCUUGUUAUUAAUCUUUGCAAAAGUUGAAGCCCAAGCCCAAGAAGCCCAAGCAAAUCCCAAGCCCAAAGCUCAAGCCCAUAUCUCAAGCCCAAAAAAGGCCAUGCCAAGCCCAAGUUCAAACCAUGAAGGGAAGGCCAAACAAUAAAUAAAAGAGCAUCAUGUGAAUUGCUUUUGGAUAGUUAUAGGAGGUAUGAAUAUUAAAUAAAGAGUGUGAGCUUAGUAAGGGGGGUGUAGAAAUAAUAAGGAGGUGCCAAAGUGAGAGAGGAAGUCACACCUUCCUCAUGUCUAUAGUUGGCGCCACUUUCAUGUAAUUUGGGGGGGAAUUUUGAAUUUGAUUAGCUUUGCAUUUCAGCACCUCUAGGCUAUAAAUUAAGGUGUUGCCCUUGUAUUUUUCAGAUUUGAAUUUUGAUUAGAGAAACUAUACUCAAUUUUUGAGAAAGCAUUGGAGAGCUUUGUGCCUUCCUCACUAGUCUUAUCUUGAGAGUUCAAUGGUUACCUCAAGUGGCGGCUUGCACACUCAUCUUGGAGUCACCAUCCUCUAAGUGGCGUGAUCAUCCAACCAUUCCUCCAUCUUCAUGAGCUUUCUCUUCUCCUUCCUUCCUUCUCUUUUAAUUGUUCAUGUCUUGGCUUGCUUCCUUUGAUUUUCUAUUCGGCAUUUUCAAUUCUUACGAGUUUUGCUUCAGUUCAUUUGCUUCCUUGCUGUUCUUCAUUGUUUCUUCUUCAUUUCUAGUCUUUAUGUUCGGUUCAAUUCAGUUCUAAUCCAUUUUGUUCGGUGCAUUUGCUUUUCCUUCCAUUUUAAUCGGUUCAAUUUGACAAUAAUUGGAACUUCCAUAUGAGUUUGGGUUUUGGUACUAGUUUUGGUGAGUUCUUGUUCAUAGAACCUUGAUCCAAUUCUAUGAUAAAGUGCCUAUCUCAUAUCCAACUCAAGUUGAUUCCUAAGAAUGUCAAGAAUCAUUCAUAUUGUGCUAUUGGAAUCUCAUCAAUACGGACCCAGAAUAAAAUUUCACAAAGUUGGGCAAAAUUUCACAAGUUUUGGUAGAGGAUAGCCUUUGGUUUUCACAAAAUUUCUGAAAAUUCUCCCGAAAUAGCUUUUUCCAGAAAUUCCACGUAAGAAUGUCCACCGAACUUGGGACAAAACGCGACAAAUUUCGAGUCAAACGGAUGAAUAUUCACCCACGAAAAAAAUCAAACAGUUUCACACACAAACGAACCUUCCUUUUAGCCCUGGCAGUGAUGAAUAAAAAAUUUAUUGCCAAUCUUGUGAGACGAAUCUGGAGCUCAAGUCUUAGCCAAAACUCAAUAGACACAGAGACAAACGUCUGGUAAAAAUUUCAGACCAAAAUACCCAAGGAGUAAGGCGUAGUAAGUCCCAGACCGAGAGUGAACAAAACUGGUGUUCCGAAAACAAAACGUCCUGGCUUUUCUUCCCCGUAUCUUCCUUUUGUGAUUUGUUUAUGGACGUGCCUCCUUACCUGGGUGCAAACAACAUAUGAAAGUACUUGUGUGAAUUUUUUCAGCGCAAUACAGACCCAAAAUAAAAUUUCAUAAAGUUGGGCGAAAUUUCACAAGUUUUGGUAGAGGAUAGCAAUUGGUUUGCACAAAAUUUCUGUGAAAAUUCUCCCGAAAUAGUUUUUUCCUGAAAUUCCACGUAAGAAUCUCCACUGAAUUUGGGACAAAUCGCGACAAAUUUCGGGUCAAACGGAUGAGUAUUCACCCACGAAAAAAAUCAAACAGUUUCACACACAAACGAACCUUCCUUUCAGCCCUGGCAGUGAUGAAUAAAAAAUUUAUUGCCAAUCUUGUGGGACAAAUCUGGAGCUCAAGCCCUAGCCAAAACUCAAUAGACACAGUGACGAACGUCUGGUAAAAAUUUUAGACCGAAAUACCGAACGAGUAACUCAUAGUAAGUCCCAGACCGAGAGUGAACAAAACUGGUUUUCCGAAAACAAAACGUCCUGACUUUUCUUCCCCGUGUCUUCGUUUUGUGAUUUUUUUAUGGACGUGCCUCCUUACCUAGGUGCAAAGAACAUAUGAAAGUACUUGUGUGAAUUUUUUCAGCGCAAUACGGACCCAAAAUAAAAUUUCACAAAGUUGGGCGAAAUUUCACAAGUUUUGGUAGAGGAUAUCCUUUGGGGUGCACAAAAUUUCUGAAAAAUUCUCCUGAAAUAGUUUUUUCCUGAAAUUUUACAUAAGAAUCUCCACUGAAUUUGGGACAAAACGCGACAAAUUUCGGGUCAAACGGAUGACUAUUCACCAACGAAAAAAAUCAAACAGUUUCACACACAAACGAACCUCUCUUUCAGCCCUGGCAGUGAUGAAUAAAAAAUUUAUUGCCAAUCUUGUGGGACGAAUCUGGAGCUCGAGUCUCAGCCUAAACUCAAUAGACAUAGUGACGAUUGUCUGGUAAAAAUUUCAAACCAAAAUUCCCAUGGAGUAAUGCGUAGUAAGUCCCAGACUGAGAGUGAACAAAAUUGGUUUUCCGAAAACAAAACGUCCAUGCUUUUCUUCCCCGUAUCUUCCUUUUGUGAUUUGUUUAUGGAUGUGCCGCCUUACCUGGGUGCAAACAAUAUAUGAAAGUACUUGUAAGAAUUUUUUCAGCACAAUACGGACCCAGAAUAAAAUUGCAGAAAGUUGAGCGAAAUUUCACAAGUUUUGGUAGAGGAUAGCAUUUGGUUUGCACAAAAUUUCUGAAAAAAUCUCCCGAAAUAGUUUUUUCUUGAAAUUCCUCAUAAGAAUCUCCACUUAAUUUGGGACAAAACGCGAAAAAUUUUGAGUCAAACGAAUGAGUUUUCACACACGAAUGAACCUUCCUUUCAGGCCUGACAGUGAUGAAUAAAAAAUUUAUUGCCAAGCUUGUGGGACGAAUCCGGAGCUCAAGUCUCUUCCAAAAUACAAUAGACACAGUGACGAACGUCUGUUAAAAAUUUCAGACCAAAAUAUCCAAGGAGUAAGGCGUCGUCAGUCCCAGACCGAGAGUGAACAAAACUGGUUUUCCGAAAACAAAACGUCCUGACUUUUCUUUCUUGUAUCUUCCUUUCGUAAUUGGUUUAUGGACGUGCCUCCUUACCUGUGUGCAAACAACAUAUGAAAGUACUUGUGUGAAUUUUUUCAGCGCAAUACGGACCCAGAAUAAAAUUGCAGAAAAUGGGGCAACAUUGCACAAGUUUUGGUAGAGGAUAGCCUUUGAUUUGCACAAAAUUUCUAAAGAAUUCUCCCGAAAUAGUUUUUUCCUGAAAUUCCACGUAAGAAUCUGCACUAAAUUUGGGACAAAACGCGAAAAAUUUCUGGUCAAACAGAUGAGUAUUCACCUACGAAAAAAAUCAAACAGAUUAAUACACAAACGAACCUUCAUAAUUUUUAAUUGUGUUUAAAAAAUUUAUUGCCAAUCUUGUGGGACGAAUCCUACGAAGGUUCGUUUCUUUGUGAAACUGUUUUAUUUUUUUUUCUAACUAAAUUCUCAUCUGUUUAAGCUGAAAUUUAUUGCAUUUGGUCCCAAAUUUUGUUGGGAUUCUUACACAGAAUUUCAAUGAGAAACUAUUUCGGGAAAAAAAUUCUGAAAUUUCUUGCACUCCAAAACUAUCCUCUUUCCAGAUUUGUGAAAUUUUUCCCUAAUUUAUGCAAUUUUGUUUUGAGUUCAUAUUACGUUGACCUUGUUAAGAAUAUUUCCCAGCAUUCCUCCUCGAGGUAAAGAAUAGAUGUCAAAUGUCAAUCACACCCAAGUAAUGAAUAGAUGUCAGAUGUCACAAUUUGUCUAUCCUCAUAAAAGGAUUUAUUAAAUUAUCCAUUGUUCGCGUUCCCGAAGGUCCCUCUCUUUUAAGAGAAUUCACGGCAUGUUAAAUCCUUGUAAAAAUAUUGUAGAUUUUAGGUAUUAUAUAAUACAAAAAAUUUAAAAAGAAAGAUUUCUGACUAAAAUUUUCCUAAAAGAGGUUAGGGUAGAUGUAAAAGCAAAAUGUAAUAUCUAUUCGUUGAUAAAAGUAGGAUUUAUUUUCUUUGUAAGUGAUUUUUUUUUUCAAAAGCAUGCAUAAAAUGAAACUUUUGAACUACACUAGAAACAAAUUGAGAAACAUUCAUUAGAAAAAAAGAAGAUUAAAAAAAGUGUACAAGUUCGUUAGAAAAUAUAAGAAAAGUAAGAAAAAGAUUAAAUACAUGUGUUUAUUUAUCCUAAUUAUUUUUUGUCUCUAAAAUUGGUUUAUAUUUCAUGAUUUUUUUUCUAGUGUAUGUAGUUAUGUGUUCGCAUGGAUUUCAAAAUUUCUCAUAUUUUAGGAAAGGAAAUAAUUGUGAACUGCUUUUGCUCUGCAUGAUGAGUGAGAGCAUUGAUGGACAACAAAUAUAAUUGAAACAGUAACAUACAAAUAAGAAAAGUGGGUUCUAUUUUAUUCCUUCAAAGACAAGUUUAGAAUCAAAUAGACCCACCAAGAGGUUCAACAAAAGAGUUUGGUUCAGAAAUCCACUUUCCAAUCUACAAUGUUCUAAGAAUUAAUGUUUAAAGUAUUUGCAUUUCAAAACUCCAUUCUAAGAAUUAAGGGUUGUAUAGGNNNNNNNNNNNNNNNNNNNNNNNNNNNNNNNNNNNNNNNNNNNNNNNNNNNNNNNNNNNNNNNNNNNNNNNNNNNNNNNNNNNNNNNNNNNNNNNNNNNNNNNNNNNNNNNNNNNNNNNNNNNNNNNNNNNNNNNNNNNNNNNNNNNNNNNNNNNNNNNNNNNNNNNNNNNNNNNNNNNNNNNNNNNNNNNNNNNNNNNNNNNNNNNNNNNNNNNNNNNNNNNNNNNNNNNNNNNNNNNNNNNNNNNNNNNNNNNNNNNNNNNNNNNNNNNNNNNNNNNNNNNNNNNNNNNNNNNNNNNNNNNNNNNNNNNNNNNNNNNNNNNNNNNNNNNNNNNNNNNNNNNNNNNNNNNNNNNNNNNNNNNNNNNNNNNNNNNNNNNNNNNNNNNNNNNNNNNNNNNNNNNNNNNNNNNNNNNNNNNNNNNNNNNNNNNNNNUUUAAUGCCUAAAAAUCUUGAUGAAAUAUACUUUUAAAUUCCAAUUACAAGUUCCUUAGAUACAGAAUGUCCUUUAUGUCCACUGCAGUUUCCAUUCAAAACUUCAUUUUUUGGAUCAUUUAGUUCCAGUGAUCUAUUAUUAAGUUUAAGUUCAUUUUUUGUCAGAAACUGUAGUAACAUGAAAUAAGAACACAGAAUACUCUGUUCGGAAUGGAUAGCUACACGAUUUUCGUAGUAUUCUAAAAUUAGGAAAAACAUUCGGUUGGAAUUUAAUUUCAACAGAAAAAUUGAAAUAAUUUUGCACGAAAAUAAGAGUAAAAUAAAAGUAAUUGAUUCAUGAAAAACGUAGUUGAGUUCAAGUAUAUCAUGUGCUGCUCUUGUUUGAAAAAUGGCAAUUAUAGGGUUACCGUUUGCAACUAACAAAAUGGUAAUCGAAAAGGUACAAAGAUAUUCUGGAGAAUUGGAACCUGUUGAAGUGGCAGACAAAUUGAAAUAGGUGCACGCCUAAUUUUGAACUUCUGACUCAUCUUAUGAAAGUUCCAGUUUUUGGAUGUGAGCAAUCUUUCCCCAGUCUUCGCCAUCUGGAUUUCGACACCGCUCCUUCAGCAAUGGACAAUCGAAGAUUGUAAGAGAAGAGAUGGAUUUGGGGAGACCCUCCGCUGGUAAGCAUUCAAGGCUGGGACAAUCCUCAAAUAUGAGAGAGGAGAGGUGGCAGAGACCUUUGUAGUGCAUCUUUUUAAGAUUUGGACACCAACGGAUUUCUAGAGAGGUGAGAGAGCGUGGCAGCAAAACUUCAUCGGGAAAACACUCCACCUCCAACUUGUAAAUACACAACCUUUGAAGAGAUGUGUUGGGGUCCAAGUUGUCUCUCAAGGAGGCGAUAAGUUUUAAACAUGAAAGAGACAUUUGUUUUAUAUUUAAUGGCAAACCUCCAUCUGGGAACAACUCCACUUCUGGACAAUUAAUUAUAUGCAGCCCAGUAAGGGACGGAAACAGGAUUUGCAUGCGUUUGGGAAACAGGAAUGAUUUUAAUUGAGGGCAAUCAUUAAUACGUAGAUGCAUGAGAUGAUUAUGAGCGUACUCCUGUGAAAUUCUUUCUAUGUGGUGGCACAAUGUCAGUUCAAGAGAAAGGAGCUUUGGAAAGAAAUGUAGUCGAAAGAUUGCAAGAGAGUCGGUGCCUCCAUCAGUAUGCGAUGUGUCCAUACUGUUUCCGCUAAUUCUGAGCUCAUCACUAACAACUACUUUCGUACCUUUCAGUUUCGGACAUUUAAACACAAAAAGGUCUUGAACACGUGGAAAAGAAGUAGUUUUACACUCCCAUUCUUCCCAUUCCUUCAUAUUAUAGAAGUCUAAGCUCUCCAAGGAUGCAAACGAAGAGUUGCUCCCAUAAAAUUCGGCACCAAUGCUCACUAUUCCAUCAAGACCUCUAAUCUCAAGGGUCUUCAGUGAUGACAAAAGUCCAAGGGGAGGCAAACAUAGGCAGUAUUUACAUUUAAACAACUUUAAGAACACCAGAUUUGAUAACGAAUUAUCGAAUUCCCAACUUGGGAAUUCUGUAGCAUUGUAGUUCCAGAUUGACAAUUUCUCCAAGUGAUUGGAAGGUUGUAGAUUCUGAAGUACUUCCUUUUCUUUCUUUGGAUCAUCAGGGAUGUGGUCCGACUUCCAAUAUAAUUGUAGCUCCACAAGGCGUUUAUCUUUCAAAUUUGCUUUUAAUGCAUCCAAAGGAUUCCCAAUAUUCUGCACGUCAAUGAUUGAUAGCCUUCCAUGAAGAUUGAGUCCUCCCAAUCCGCCCAGUUCCUUAGUACUUAGCUCACUAUUUUUAUCCACGAAAAACAUACUUAGUACUUGAAGAUUCUUCAAUUCUCCAAAAUGCAUUGGCAUCUUUCUCACUUUUGUACCUACAAAUUCCAGGCAACGCAAUUUGGUAAGCUUAUGCAAAUUUAAGGGAAACUCCUCCAACAUUGAACAAUUGUUCAACUUCAGUAUUAGUAAGUUAUAGAGCAAACAUAUCGAGUCAGGUAGCUUUUGUAUCUCUGUAGACGAAAGAUCUAACGAUUGGAGAUGUUUAAGAUCACCUACAGAAUCUGGGACCUCUCUAAGGUGUAAACAACCACGGAAAGAUAACACGCGUAUAAACUUAAUAUUGGAAAACAAAUCAUGUAU